This 60968-nucleotide long non-coding RNA is filed under the name Triticum aestivum (bread wheat). RNAcentral's name for it is "long non-coding RNA (TAES_LNC027742)". Lineage: Eukaryota; Viridiplantae; Streptophyta; Magnoliopsida; Poales; Poaceae. The record is from RNAcentral.
GUAUGUACAUUUUCCCACCAUCACCUGGAACACUCGCCACCACUUGCCAAUUGCUUAUGCCAAUCUAAUCUUAAAACAGUUAAUGUGUGCAUGCUGAUGAAAACACCUUGUGCCCGUGAUCUUUUUUUCUUACAGCUGGUGGAGCAGUCCAAGGAGAACGUGAAAGCCAAGAAGGGUGGCGUCCUGUUGCGGCGCUGCGGCAGCUGCAUCAGGUGAAAGGAGACCUGCCAUUCAGCUUCCAUAGCCAUGCUAGCAGGAGGAUGAGAAUGAAUUGUGGUUACCUUUCCUUUCUGGAGCGGGGUGGUAUCAUAAUUUACUAGUAGUACCUAAAACCCAUAAGGAUCCAAUGUCAGUGUUUAUAUGGUCAAGCAAGUGAACUUGUGUUGUCGUUACUAGUGAAUUUGUUUGUCGGUGGUAUCAUAAUUUCUACUAGUAGUACCUAAAACCCGUAAGGAUCCUUUACCAGCUGGUGGAGUACUGUUUAUAGGUAUAUGAGUUUGUCAGAAACUUUGGACAAAUGGAACAAAAGAAAAUUAGCAAUAUGUUGAUGUGUACUCGAUAUGUGUGGUACAUUUCUAAUGGGUUCUUCGCCUUUGCUCUCUUCUGAAGAAGUGGAGAUGACACAUGAGUUCAGUUUAGUCACAUAGGCGCACUUUGCCGCAUUGUUGAAAUUUGAGCCAUUCAAAUAUUUUUUAAAUUCAAUGAAAUUUGAGCUUUUUAAAUCCAAUGAAAUUUGAGCUAUUCAAAUAAGAGGUCACACGGGAUCCCGUGAGACUUGACGGUGGUCACCCUCUGCCGUGGCUCACUGCUUGAGGGUUCGGCUAGCCUUCAGUUGCACUUUCUUGUUGGCCAACGAUGACAUCGAUCAUCAACCUUCAUACUUUUACGGUUGUGCAUCGGAGGCCAGGGGUGAUCCUCUUUUUCUCAGAGAAAAUCCUCCUACACUUACCAUCAUUGGCAAUUGCUUGCAAGAACCUAAUUGCAAGUCUUAAAACAGUUAAUGUGUGUGUGUUGAUGGUAACACCUUGUGGAUAUUUUUACAGCUGGUGAAGAAGAUGGAACAGUGAAAGGAGAAUGUCAACGCCAAUAAGGGUGAUGCCCUGCUGCGGUAGCUGCAUUUGGUGAACGGUGACCCUCCAUUCAACUUCCAUAGCCUUGCUGGCUGGAGGAGGAGGACUUGAAUCUGGUUGUCUUGUGUGUUUGAUGCAACUGCAACGACAAUUGUGGUGUCGAUAGUAGUUACCUUUUCUUUUCAAAGCGGGGGGAUAUAUUAAUUUACUAGUGGUACCUAAAACCCAUAAGGACCCAAACAUCAGUGUUUAUCUGGUCAAGCAAGUGAACUUGUCUUGUUGUUCCUGUUUAUAGGUGAUGAUGGGUUUGUCAAAAACUUCAAACAAAUGGAACGAAAGAAAAUUAGCAAUCUGUUGAUGUGUACUCCGAAAGUCCCUUCCUACUUCGGAGCUCAUUUGAGCUCGGGAUUAACAAUAAAUUCAACCAAAAUUUAAAAACUUCAAUAAGUCUGAAUUUUUUUGGGUAUAAACUUUGACAAAUGUUUUGGUGCUUGCAAAUUUCAUCCCGAAAUAACAUUCGUGGAAGUCAUGGCAAAAAAGAACAACACUCCAAAAUGCUUUUGAAAAUAGCAUUUCCGGAGCGUUGACUUUGUUUUUUACCAUGACUUCCAAGGAUGAUAUUUUGGGAUAAAAUAUGCAAGCACUGAGUACAUUUGUCAAAGUUUGAACCCAAAAAAAUUCAGAAUUUUUUGAAUUUUUUACUUUUUUUUGAUUUUACUAUUCAUUAGAGAGCAUAUGAGCUCGGGACUAGAUACUCUGCGUCCACUGUACCCGGUGUGGUCCAUUUCCGGUGUAUGUUGGAGUCAUUGCCUUUUCUAUCUUCUGAAGAAGUGUAGAUAACACACGAGUUGAGUUUAGUCACAUAGAUGCACUUUGUCACGUAAGUGAAAUUUGAGCGACUCAAAUAGUUAUCAAAUCUAGUGAAAAUUCAGCUAUUCAAAUCAGUGGUCACACGAAAUCCCGUGAGAGUUGAUAGUAGUUAGUUUUUCUUUUCGGAACGACAUGGUAUAUAGUCAUUUACUAGUGGUAUCUAAAACCCAUAAGGACCCAAAUGUCAGUGUUUAUCUGGUCAAGCAAGUGAACUUGUGUUGUUGUUAUUGUUUAUAUAUAGGUGAUGAUGGGUUUGUCAGAAAUAUCAAACAAACUGAAGGAAAUAUGCCCUAGAGGCAAUAAUAAAGUUGUUAUUUAUAUUUCCUUAUAUCAUGCUAAAUGUUUAUUAUUCAUGCUAGAAUUGGAUUAACCGGAAACUUAGUACAUGUGUGAAUACAUAGACAAAACAACGUGUCCCUAGUAUGCCUCUACUUGACUAGCUCGUUAAUCGAAGAUGGUUAUUUUUCCUGACCAGAGACAUGUGUUGUCAUUUGAUGAAUGUGAUCACAUCAUUAGAGAAUGAUGUGAUGGACAAGACUCAUCCGUUAGCUUAGCAUAAUGAUCAAUAGGUUUUAUUGCUAUUGCUUUCUUCAUGACUUAUACAUGUUCCUCUGACUAUGAGUUUAUGCAACUCUCGAAUACCGAAGGAACACCUUGUGUGCUAUCAAACGUCACAACGUAACUGGGUGAUUAUAAAGAUGCUCUACAUGUGUCUCCGAAGGUGUUUGUUGGGUUAGCAUAGACCGAGAUUAGGAUUUGUCACUCCGUGUACCGGAGAGAUAUCUCUGGUCCCUCUCGGUAAUGCUCAUCACUAUAAGCCUUGCAAGCAAUGUGACUAAUGAGUUAGUUGUGGGAUGAAGCAUUACGAAACGAGUAAAGAUACUUGCCGGUAACGAGAUUGAACUAGGUAUGAAGAUACCGAUGAUCGAAUCUCGGGCAAGUAACAUACCGAUGACAAAGGGAACAACGUAUGUUGUUGUGCGGUUUGACCGAUAAAGAUCUUCGUAGAAUAUGUAGGGGCCAAUAUGAGCAUCUAGGUUCCACUAUUGAUUAUUGAUCGGAGAUGUGUCUCGAUCAAGUAUACAUAGUUCUUGAACCUGUAGGGUCCGCACGCUUAACGUUUGAUGAUGAUUUGUAUUAUGAGUUAUGUGAUUUGACUACCGAAGUUUGUUCGGAGUCCCAGAUGAGGUCACAGACAUGACGAGGAGUACCAAAAUGGUAGAGAAAUAAAUAUUGAUAUAUUGGACGAUGUUAUUUGGACACCGGAAGAGUUCCGAGAGGUACGGGUAAAAACAGAGUGCCGGAGGGGUUACCGGAACCCCCGGGGAAGCAAUGGGCCAACAUGGGCCAUAGGGGAGAGAGAGAGAGGACAUCCCACAAGUGGGUGGCGCGCGCCGCCCCAUGGGGAAUCCGAAUACGACUAGGGGAGGGGGCACGGCCCCCCUUUCCCUGUUCAUCUCCCUCUCCCUUCCUUCUUCCCCCCUUCCACCAAUGGGAAUUCUAAGUCCUAGUAGGACUCCUCCCUCUUGGCCCGCCCUACAGGGCCGGCCGGCCUCUCCCUCUCCUCCUUUAUAUACGGGGGCAGGGGGCACCCCAAAGCACAACAGACAAUCUCUUAGCCGUGUGCGGUGCCCCCUUCCAUAGUUUAACACCUCGGCCAUAUCAUCGUAGUGCUUAGGCGAAGCCCUGCGCCGGUAACUUCAUCAUCACCGUCGCCACAUCAUCGUACUGAUGGAACUAUCCCUCGUCCUCAACUGGAUCAAGAGCACGAGGGACGUCAUCGUGCUGAACGUGUGCUGAACACGGAUGUGCCGUAUGUUCGGUACUUGGAUCGGUUGGAUCAUGAAGACAUUCAACUACAUCAACCGCGUUACUAAACGCUUCCACUUUCGGUCGACGAGGGUACAUGGACACACUCUCCGUCUCGUGCUAUGCAUCUCCUAGAUAGAUCUUGCGUGAUCGUAGGAAUUCUUUUGAAUUACUACAUUCCCCAACAGUGGUAUCAGAACCAGGUCUAUGCGUAGAUGAUAUGCACAAGUAGAACACAGAGAGCUGUGGGCGAUAAUAGUCAUACUGCUUACCACCAACGUCUUACUUUGAUUCGGCGGUAUUGUUGGAUGAAGCGGCGUGGACCGACAUUACAUGACCGCAUUCAUGAGACUGGUUCUACCGACGUGCUUUGAACAUAGGUGGCUGGCGGUUGUCUGUUUCUCCAACUUUAGUUGAAUCGAUUUUGACUACGGUCGGUCCUUGUUGAAUGUUAAAAUAGCACACUUGACGAAAAAUCGUUGUGGUUUUGAUGUGUAGGUACAAACGGUUCUUGCUAGAAGCUCGUAGUAGCCACAUGAAACUUGCAAAACAAAGUAGAGGACGUCUAACUUGUUUUUGCACGGCUUGUUGUGAUGUGAUAUGGUCAAGACAUGAUGUGAUAUAGAUUGUUGUAUGAGAUGAUCAUGUUUUGUAACAAAGUUAUCGGCAAUUGGCAGGAGCCAUAUGGUUGUCGCUUUAUUGUAUGAAAUGCAAUCGCCAUGUAAUUGCUUUACUUUAUCACUAAGCGGUAGCAAUAGUCGUAGUAACAAUAAUUGGCGAGACAACAACGAUGCUACGAUGGAGAUCAAGGUGUCAAGCCGGUGACGAUGGAGAUCAUGAUGAUGCUUCGGUGACGGAGAUCAUGAGCACAAGAUGAUGGUGUCCAUAUCAUGUCACAUAUUUUGAUUGCAUGUGAUGUUUAUCUUUUAUGCAUCUUACUUUGCUUAGUACGGCGGUAGCAUUAUAAGAUGAUCCCUUACUAAAUUUCAAUGUAUAAGUGUUCUCCUUGAGUAUGCACCGUUGCUACAGUUCAUCGUGCCGAGACACCACGUGAUGAUCGGGUGUGAUAAGCCCUACGUUCAGAUACAACGGGUGCAAGCCAGUUUUGCACGUGCAGAAUUCUCGGCUUAAACUUGACGACCCUAGCAUAUGCAGAUAUGGCCUCGGAACACUGAGACCGAAAGGUCGAACAUGAAUCAUAUAGUAGAUAUGAUCAACAUAGAUAUGUUCACCAUUGAAAACUACUCCAUCUCACGUGAUGAUCGGACAUGGUUUAGUUGAUAUGGAUCACAUGAUCAUUUAGAUGACUAGAGGGAUGUCUAUCUAAGUGGGAGUUCUUUAGUAAUAUGAUUAAUUGAACUUUAAUUUAUUAUAAACUUAGUCCUGAUAGCAUUCGUAACUUAUGUUGUAGAUCAAUAGCUCGCGUUGUAGCUUCCCUGUGCUUUUUGAUAUGUUCCUAGAGAAAACUAAGUUGAAAGAUGAUAGUAGCAACGAUGCAGACUGGGUCCGUGAUAUGAGGUUUAUCCUCAUUGCUCAUAGAAGAAUUAUGUCCUUGAUGCACCGCUAGGUGACAGACCUAUUGCAGGAGCAGAUGCAGACGUUAUGAACUUUUGGCUAGCUCAAUAUGAUGACUACUUGAUAGUUUAGUACACCAUGCUUUACGGCUUAGAACUGGGACUUCAAAAAUGUUUUGAAAUGCCACGGAGCAUAUGAGAUGUUCCAAGAGCUGAAAUUGGUAUUUCAGACUCAUGCCCGUGUCGAGAGGUAUGAGACCUCUAACAAAUACUUCGCCUAAGCGGAUGGAGGAGAAUAACUCAGCUAGUGAGCAUGUGCUCAGAAUGUCUGGGUACUACAAUCGCUUGAAUCAAGUGGGAGUUAAUCUUCCAGAUAAGAUAGUGACUGACAGAGUUCUCUAGUCACCAUCACCAAGUUACUAGAACUUCGUGAUGAAUUAUAAUAUGCAAGGGAUGAAAAGAGCGAUUCUCGAGCUCUUCGUGAUGCUAAAAUCAACAAAGGCAAAAAUCAAGAAAAAUCAUCAAGUGUUGAUGAUUAAACAAGAUCACUAGUUUCAAGAAAAGGGCAAAGGGAAGGAAAGAGAACUUCAAGAAGAAUGGCAAGCAAGUUUUCACUCCCGUGAAGAAGCCCAAAGUUGGACCGAAGCCUGAAACUAAGUGCUUCUACUGCAAAGGAAAUGAUCACUGGAAGCGGAGUUACCCCAAAUAUUUGGUGGAUAAGAAGGAUGGCAAAGUGAACAAAGGUAUAUUUGAUAUACAUGUUAUUGAUGUGUACCUUACUAGUGAUCGUAGUAACCCCUGGUCAUUUGAUACUUGUUCAGUUGCUAAGAUUAGUAACUCGAAACAGGAGUUGCAGAAUAAAUAGAGACUAGUUGAGGGUGAAGUGACGAUGUAUGUUGGAAGUGUUUCCAAGAUUGAUAUGAUCAUCAUCGUACACCACAUAUACUUUUGGAAUUAGAGUUGAACCUAAAUAAAUGUUAUUUGGUGUUUGCGUUAAAGCAUGAAUAUGAUUAGAUCAUGUUUAUUGCAAUAUGAUUAUUCAUUUAAGACAGAGAAUAAUUGUUAUACUAUUUACAUGAAUAAAACCUUCUAUGGUCAUACACCCAAUGUUGAUGGUUUAUUGAAUCUCGGUCGUAGUGAUACAGAUAUUCAUAAUAUUGAUGCCAAAAGAUGCAAAGUUGAUAAUGAAAGAGCAACAUACUUGUGGCACUGCCGUUUAGGUCAUAUUGGUGUAAAGCGCAUGAAGAUACUCCAUGCUGAUGGGCUUUUGGAAUCACUUGAUUAUGAAUCAUUUGAUACUUGCGAACCAUGCCUUAUGGGCAAGAUGACUAAAACUCCAUUCUACGGAACAAUGGAACAAGAUAAUGACUUAUUGGAAAUAAUACAUACCGAUGCAUGUGGUCCGAUGAGUGUUGAGGCUCAUGGCAGGUAUCAUUAUUUUCUGACAUUCACAGAUGGUUUGAGCAGAUAUGGGUAUAUCUACUUAAUGGAAAAAAAGUUUGAAACAUUUGAAAAGUUCAAAGAAUUUCAGAGUGAAGUGGAGAACCAUUGUAACAAGAAAAUAAAGUUUCUAUGAUCUGGUCGUGGAGGUGAAUAUUUGAGUUACGAGUUUGACCUUCAGUUAAAACAAUGUGGAAUAGUUUCACAGCUCACGCCACUUAGAACACCACAGCGUAAUGGUGUGUCCGAACAUCGUAAUCGCACUUUAUUAGAUAUGGUGUGAUCUAUGAUGCCUCUUACCGAUUUGCCACUAUCGUUUUGGGAUUAUGCAUUAGAGACAGCUGCAUUCACGUUAAACAGGGCACCGUGAAAAUCCGUUGAGACGACACCAUAUGAAAUGUGGUUUGGCAACAAACCUAAGCUGUCGUUUCUUAAAGUUUGGGGCUGCGAUGCUUAUGUGAAAAAGCUUCAACCUGAUAAGCUCGAACCCAAAUUAGAGAAAUGCGUCUCCAUAGGAUACCCAAAAGAAAAUGUUGGGUACACCUUCUAUCACAGAUCCGAAAGCAAGAUAUUCGUUACUAAGAAUGGAUCCUUUCUAGAGAAGGAGUUUCUCUCGAAAGAAGUGAGUGGGAGAAAAGUAGAACUUGAUAAGGUAAUUAUACCUUCUCCCGAAUUGGAAAGUACUCCAUCACAGAAAUCAGUUCCAGUGAUUCUUACACCAAUUAGUGAGGAAGCUAAUGAUGAUGAUCAUGAAACUUCAGAUCAAGUUGCUACAGAACCUCGUAGGUGAACCAGAGUAUGGUCCGCACCAGAGUGGUAUGGUAAUCCUAUUCUGGAAGUCAUGUUACUAGACCAUGAUGAACCUAUGAACUAUGAGGAAGCGAUGAUGAGCCCAGAUUCCGCGAAAUGGCUUGAGGCCAUGAAAUCUGAGAUGGGAUCCAUGUAUGAGAACAAAGUGUGGACUUUGGUGGACUUGCCCGAUGAUCGGCAAGCCAUAGAAAAUAAAUGGAUCUUCAAGAGGAAGACGGACACUGAUAGUAGUGUUACUAUCCAUUGUUGAGGAAAUUGGUAAGUGGUAGCUACUCGGUUGGCUUGCGAGUAGGGGAUUAAUAGGAUAAUCGGCCAUUUAAUCAAUUAAUCGGACGAUUUAUUGGUUUAUUGGCUACUCGGUGACCCUACGAGUUGGGGUUAAUCGGCAUGUUAACUGGUUAAUCGGACGAAUUCUUGAACAGGGUUACUAUCUACAAAGCUCGACUUGUCGCAAAAGGUUUUCGACAAGUUCAAGGUGUUGACUACAAUGAGAUUUUCUCAACUGUAGCGAUGCUUAAAUCCGUCCGAAUCAUGUUAGCAAUUGCCAUAUAUUAUGAAAUCUAGCAAAUGGAUGUCAAAACUGCAUUCCUUAAAUGGAUAUUUCUUCAAGAAGUGUUGUAUAUGAUGCAACCUGAAGGUUUUGUCGAACCUAAAGGUACUAAAAAGGUGUGCAAACUCUAGCAAUCCAUCUAUGGACUAUUGCAAGCAUCUCGGAGUUGGAAUAUACUCUUUGAUGAGUUGAUCAAAGCAUAUAGUUUUAUACAGACUUGCGGUGAAGCCUGUAUUUACAAGAAAGUGAGUGGGAGCACUACACCCUUUCUGAUAAGUAUAUGUGAAUGACAUAUUGUUGAUCGGAAAUGAUGUUGAAUUUUCUGGAAAGUAUAAAGGAGAGUUUGAAAGGAGAUUUUCAAAGAAAGACCUCGGUGAAGCUUCUUACAUAUUGGGUAUCAAGAUCUAUAGAGAUAGAUCAAGACGCUUGAUAAGAUUUUUCAAUGAGUACAUACCUUGACAAGAUUUUAAAAGAGUUCAAAAUAGAUCAGUCAAAGAAGGAGUCCUCGCCGAUAUUACAAGGUGUAAAGUUGAGUAAUACACAAAGCCCGACCACGGCAGAAGAUAAAAAGAGAAUGAAAGUCAUUCCCUAUGCCUCAGUCAUAGGUUCUAUAAAGUAUGCCAUGUUAUGUACCAUACCAGUUGUGUGCCUUGCUAUGAGUUUGGCAAGGGGGGUACCAUAGUGAUCCAGGAGUGGAUCACUGUAUAGCGAUCAAAGUUAUCCUUAGUUACGUAAGAGGACUAAGGAAGUAUUUCUCGGUUAUGGAGGUGAUAAAGAGUUCAUCAUAAAGAGUUACAUUGAUGUAAGCUUUACACCAAUCCAGAUGACUCUGAGUCUCAAUCUGGAUACAUAUUGAAAGUGGGAGCAAUUAGCUAGAGUAGCUCCAUGCAGAGCAUUGUAAACAUAGAAUAUUUGCAAAAUACAUAUGUCUCUAAAUUUAGCAGACCCGUUGACUAAACUUCUCUCACAAGCAAAACAUCAUCACACCUUAGUACUCUUUGGGUGUUAAUCACAUAGCGAUGUGAAAUAGAUUAUUGACUCUAGUAAACCCAUUGCUUGUUGGUCACAUGGCGAUGUGAACUAUGGGUGUUAAUCACAUAUAGAUGUGCACUAUUAGUGUUAAAUCACAUGGCGAUGUGAACUAGAUUAUUGCCUCUAGUGCAAGUGGGAGACUGAAGGAAAUAUGCCCUAGAGGCAAUAAUAAAGUUGUUAUUUAUAUUUCCAUAUAUCAUGGUAAAUGUUUAUUAUUCAUGCUAGAAUUGUAUUAACCGGAAACUUAGUACAUGUGUGAAUACAUAGACAAAACAAAGUGUCCCUAGUAUGCCACUACUUGACUAGCUCGUUAAUCAAAGAUGGUUAUGUUUCCUGACCAUAGACAUGUGUUGUCAUUUGAUGAACGGGAUCACAUCAUUAGAGAAUGAUGUGAUGGACAAGACCCGUCCGUUAGCUUAGCAUAAUGAUCAAUAAGUUCUGUUGCUAAUGCUUUCCUCAUGAUUUAUACAUGUUCCUCUGACUAUGAUAUUAUGCAACUCCCGAAUACCGGAGGAACACCUUGUGUGCUAUCAAACGUCACAACGUAACUGAGUGAUUAUAAAGAUGCUCUAUAGGUGUCUCCGAAGGUGUUUGUUGGGUUGACAUAGAUCGAGAUUAGGAUUUGUCACUCCGCGUAUCAGAGAGGUAUCUCUGGGCCCUCUCGAUAAUGCUCAUCACUAUUAGCCUUGCAAGCAAUGUGACUAAUGAGUUAGUUGCGCGAUGAAGCAUUGCGAAACGAGUAAAGAGACUUGUCGGUAAUGAGAUUGAACUAGGUAUGAAGAUACCGACGAUCGAAUCUCGGGAAAGUAACAUACCGAUGACAAACGGAACAACGUGUAUUGUUGUGCGGUUUGAUCGAUAAAGAUCUUCAUAGAAUAUGUAGGAGCCAAUAUGAGCAUCCAGGUUCCACUAUUGGUUAUUGAUCGGAGAUGUGUCUCGAUCAUGUCGACAUAGUUCUCGAACACGUAGGGUCCGCACGCUUAACAUUCGAUGAUGAUUAGUAUUAUGAGUUAUGUGAUUUGAUGACCGAAGUUUGUUUGGAGUCCCGGAUGAGAUCACGGACAUGACGAGGAGUCUCGAAAUGGUCGAGACAUAAAUAAUGAUAUAUUGGACGAUGUUAUUCGGACACCGAAAGAGUUUCGACAGGUACCGGGUAAAAACGGAGUGCCGGAGGGGUUACCAGAACCCCCCGGGGAAGCAAUGGGCCAACAUGCGCCAUAGUGCAGAGAGGGGACAACCCACAAGGGGGUGGUGUGCCCCCCCCAUGGGGAGUCCGAAUAGGACUAGGGGAGGGGGCGCGACCCCCCUUUCCCUAUCCCUCUCCCUUCCUUCUUCCCCCUUCCACCAAGGGGAAUCCUACUAGGGCUUGGAGUCCUAGUAGGACUCCUCCCUAUUGGCUCGCCCUACAGGGCCGGCCGGCCUCCCCCUAUCCUCCUUUAUAUACGGGGGAAGGGGGCACCCCAAAGCACAACAGACAAUCUCUUAGCUAUGUGCGGUGCCCCCUCCCCAGUUUAACACCUCGAUCAUAACAUCAUAGUGCUUAGGCCAAGCCCUGCGCCGGUAACUUCAUCAUCACCGUCGCCACGCCGUCGUGCUAACGAAACUCUCCCUCGUCCUCAAUUGGAUCGAGAGCACGAGGGACGUUAUCAUGCUGAACGUGUGUUGAACACGGAGGUGCUGUACAUUCGGUACUUGGAUCGGUUGGAUCGUGAAGACGUUCGACUACAUCAACUGCGUUACUAAACGCUUCCGCUUUCGGUCUAUGAGGGUACGUGGACACACUCUCCAUAUGUUGCUAUGCAUCUCCUAGAUAGAUCUUGCGUGAUCGUAGGAAUUUUUUUGAAUUACUACAUUCCCCUACACAAACAAAACAAAGUUUGCAAUAUGUUGAUCUGCACUCGCGCUAUAAUACGAUGCGAUGCAAUGUGUGUGGUCUAUUUCGGAGAUGAGUGUGAGAGUUUUUGUUUUUCCUCUCUUCUCAAGAAGUGGAUAUGACACAUGAGUUGAAUUUAGUCAUGUAGGCGCAAUUUGUCGGUGAAAUUGCGGCUAUUCAAAUAGUUUUUAAAUCCAGUGAAAUUUGAGCUAUUCAAGUCACUGGUCACACGGGAUUCCAUGAGACUUGACGAUGGUCAUCCAUUGCAAUGCUUGGGUAGUCAAUCCCUUUCCUCUCCAUCGCGGCUCACUGCUUGAGGGUCCGACUGACCUUUAGUUGUGCUCCCCGGUUGGCCAACCAUGACGGCGAUCAUCAACCCUCAUACUCUUAUGGUUGUGUGCAUCAGAGGCCAAGAGUGAUCCUCCUUUUCUAAGAAAAAAAAUCCUCCUGCACUCACCAUCACUUGACAAUUGCUUGCAACAACCCAAUUGCUUGUGUUGUUGUUAAAGUUUAUAGGUGAUGAUGGGUUUGUCAGACACUUCAAUUAAAUGGAAAAACAAAAUUAGCAAUAUGUUGAUGUGUACUCGCGCUUUAAUAUGAUGGGAUGCUAUGCGUGUGUUUCAUUUUGGAAGUGUUUGUGGGAGUCUUCGCCUUUGCUCUCUUCUGAAGAAGUCUAGAUGACACACGAAUUGAGUUUAGUCACAUACUCGCACUUUCUCGCGUUUGUGAAAUUUGAGUUAGUCAAAUAGUUUUUAAAUCCAGCGAAGUUUGAGCUAUUCAAAUAAGUGGUCACACGGGGCCCCGUGAGACUGACGGUAGUCACCCAUCACAAUGCUUGGGCAAUCGAUUCGCUUUCUCCUCUACCGCGGCUCACUGGUUGUGGGUUCGGCUGGCCUUCAGGCGCUCCCUGGUUGGCUAAACAUGACAGCGAUCAUCAACCCGCAUACUCAUAUGACUAUGUGCAUUGGAGGACAGGGGUGAUCAUCCAUUUCUAAGAAAAAAAAACCUCCUACACUUACCAUCAUUUGGAAAUUGCUUGCAACAACCUAUUUGAAAAAUCUACAAACAAUAAAUGUGUGUGUGCUGAUGGUAACAUCUUGUGGCCUUGAUAUAUUUUUACAUCUGGUGGAGAAGAUGAUGGAAUAGUCCAAGGAUAAUGUCAACGCCAAGAAGCGUGGCACCAUGUCAGGGCACUGCAGCAACUGCAUCUAGUGACUGGUGAUCCACCUUUAAACUUCCAUAGUUGUACUGGCAGGAGGACGAGGAGGACUUUCAUUCUGGACAUUUUGUGUGUUUGAUGCGACCGCAACGACAACUGCAGUUUUGAUAGUAGUUACCAUUUCUCUUCUGAGCAGGAUGGUAUAGUAAUUUACUAGUAGUGCGUAAAACCCACAAGGACCCAAAUGUCAAUGUUUAUCUGGUCAAGCAAGUGAACUUGAGUUGUUGUUAUUGUUUACAGGUGAUGAUGGGUUUGUCAGAAACAUCAGACAAACGGAAUAAAAGAAAAUUAGUAAUAUCUUGAUAUGUACUCGCAUUUUAAUAUGAUGCGAUGCUAUGUGUGUGGUCCAUUUCGGAUGUAUGUGUGGGAGUCUUCACCUUUGCUCUCUUCUCAAGAAGUGGAGAUGACACUCGAGUUUAUUUUAGUCACGUAGGUGCACUUUGCCGCAUCAGUGAAAUUUGAGCUAUCAAAUAGUUUUUAAAUCAUGUGAAAUUUGAGGUAUUCAAAUCAGUGGUUAAAUAGGAUCCCAUGAGACUAGACGAUGGUCACCCAUUGCAAUGCUUGGGUAGUCGAUCCUCUUUCCUCUCCGUCGCGGCUUGCUACUUGAGGGUCCGGCUAGCCUUUAGUUGGGCUCCCUCAUGAGCCAACCAUGACUGCAAGCAUCAACCUCGUACUCUUAUGGUUGUGUGUAUAGGAGGCCAGGGUGAUCCUCCUUUUUUUGUUAAAAGCCCUUUUACACCUACCAUCAUUUGCCAGUUACUUGCAAUAACCUAAUUGCCAAGUCUUAAAAUCAUUAAUGUGAGUGUGCUGAUGGUAACACCAUGUGGUUGUGAUUUUAUUACAAUGAGGGGACAACACGAUGGAAUAUUCCAUGGUAAAAUUCAAUGCACACAAUUUUCAUGGUAACACCCUGUGGUCGUGAUUUUCUAAUCCUCCAAUUUUCUAUUGAUUUUCCUCUCAUGGAAGGUACAUAUAUAUGGUUUACAAGUUUUUUGAUCUCACAUGGAUCUUUCCUACUAACAUCGUCCCAGGAGGCUAUAGGUGAUGGUAUAAAAAGAAGAUUCUCAUCCACAUAGCCCAACACCGAAGGUAAUUAGUCUAUGCACACAGUUACUUCAUCUGCAUGCUUUAUUCACAUGUCUUUGGCAACUAUCUGUGACAUUAAAUUAAUUCCUAGUUUACGUUUGUGUGUCCUAUUUUACAUAGAUUCAAUUGCUAUUUCCUUGAUACAACCCAAAUUUUUUUAUUUGCUCCUGAUUUUGUGACUACACAUGACAACUUUUGUUGUGCACAUAUGGAUUUUGUGUUAUUACCUAUGAGACACAUUUCACUUUUUUCGUGUUAAUUUUUUGCUAUGGAACACAAUGUCAUUCUCUAUAUAUGCAUGCCUACCAACUUAUUCCUGAUUGUUUUGGUCACAGAUAUAUUUCGACAUUUUUGUAGUGUCAUUAGACGGUAUUUUUUUACAUUCUCCCAUAUGUGCAUGCUAUAAAUUUAUCUCAUGACACUCCUUUGCAAAGGGGUGGCGAUUUUUUCUCUCUUGAGGUGUGGAUACACAUUUCUUGAGUGAAAACUUUGUUGUUCAUAAAUGGAUUUACAUAUUUCUUUGGCGUGUGGCAAGUUUGCUUUACUUAACUCUAUAGGGCCAAGCUCCACAGCCAAACUUUUCUUUCACGCCCCAUGAUUUUGCUGAUUUUUCACGCACACCCUCUCGACUUUUGCAUUUUAUUUUUCUUGCAGCUACUCCAUGUUAACAACUUAGACAUUGGACAUCAAUGACUUGAAAUAAAUAUAUCAUGUGAACCUUUCGUUGAUAGUAGUUACCAUUUCUUUUCGGAGCGGGAUGGUAUAGUAAUUUAUUAUUUGUACCUAAAACCCCAAAUGUUGGUAUUUAUCUGGUCAAGCAAGUGAGCUUGAGUUGUUUUUAUUGUAUAUAGGUGAUGAUGGGUUUAUUAGAAACUUCAGACAAACGAAAUAAAUGAAAAUUAGUAAUAUGUUGAUGUGUACUCGUGUUUUAAAUUGAUGCGAUGAUAUGUGUGUGGUCCAUUAUGAAGUGUGUGUGUGUGUGUGGGGGAUAUUCACCUUUGCUCUCUUCUGAAGAGGUGCAGAUGACACUCGAGUUGAGUUUAGUCACAUAGCCGCACUUUGCCGCACUGGUGAAAUUUGAGCUAUCAAAUAGUUUUAAAUCUAGUGAAAUUUGAGGUAUUCAAAUGAGUGGUUAUGCGGGAUCCCGUGAGACUAGACGAUGGUCACCCAUUGCAAUGCUUGGGUAGUCGAUCCCCUUUCCCCUCCAUUGCGGCUCGCUGCUUGAGGGUCCCGCUAGCCUUAAGUGGGGCUCCUUGCUUUCCCAACCAUGACCGCGAUCAUCAACCCUCGUACUCUUAUGGCUGUGUAUCAAAGGCCAGGGUGAUCCUCCUUUUCUCAGAAAAAACCCUUCUACAAUUACCAUCAUUUGCCAAUUACUUGCAACAACCUAAUUGCCAAGUCUUAGAACAGUUAAUGUGAUUGUGCUAAUGGUAACACCCUGUGGUCGUGAGUUUAUUACAGCUGGGGGACAACAUGAUGGAGUAUUCCACGGUAAAAGUCAAUGCACACAAUUUACAAGGUAACACCAUGUGGUCAUGAUUUUCUAAUCCUCCAAUUUUAUAUUGAUUUUCCUCUCAUAGAAGGGACAUAUAUAUGGCUUACAAGUUUUUUGAUCUCACAUGAAUAUUUCCUACUAACAUCGUCGGAGGGGGGCAAUAGGUGAUGGUAAACAAAGAAGGUAUAUUCUCAUCCACAUAGCCCAACGCCAAAGGUAAGUAGUUGAAGCACACAAUUACUUCAUCCGCAUGCUUUAUUCACAUGUCUUUGGUAACUAUUUGUGACACUAAAUUAAUUCCUAGUUCACUUAUGUGUAUCCUAUUUUACAUAGAUUCCAUGGCAAUAUCCUUGGUACACCCCAACAAUUUUUAUUUGCCCCUGAUUUUGUGACUACACAACAUAUAUGUCAACUUUUUUAUCCACAUAUAUAUGGAUUUAGUGUUACCUGUGAGUCAUGUUUAACUUUUUUUGUGCUAAAUUUUUGCUAUGAAACACAAUGUCAUUCUCUACAUAUGCAUGCAUAGCAACUUAUUCCUGAUUUUUUUGGUCACGCAAUAUCUUUCAAAAUAGUGUCCUUAUAUGGUAUUUCUUUUUACAUUCUCCCAUCUAUGCAUAUUGUAAACUUAACUCGUGGCAACCCUUUUCAAAGGGGUCGCACUUUUUUCUCUCUUGAGGUGUGGAUACACAUUUCUUGAAUGACAACUUUGUUGUUCAUAAUGGAUUUACAUAUCUCUUUCGCGUGUGGCAUGUUUGUUUACUUAACACUAUAGGGAAAAGCUCCACAGCCAAACUUUUUUUCACGGCCCAUGAUUUUGCUGAUUUUUCACACACGCCCUCUCCACUUUUGCAUUUCUUUGUCAUUUGCAGCUACUUCAUGGUAACAACUUAGACAUUGGACAUCAAUGGCUUGAAAUAAAUAUAUCCUGUGAACCUUUCCUUCAUAGUAGAUACCAUUUCUUUUCGGAGCGGGAUGGUAUAGUAAUUUUAGUACCUAAAACCCGUAAGGAACCAAAUGUCAGUGUUUAUCUAGUCAAGUAAGUGAAUUUGAGUUGUUGUUAUUGUUUAUAGGUGAUGAUAGGUUUGUCAGAAACUGCAGACAAAUGGAAUAAAAUAAAAUUAGUAAUAUGUUGAUGUGUACUCGCAUUUUAAUAUGAUGUGAUGGUAUGUGUUUGGUCCAUUUCGGAUGUGUGUGGGAGUCUUCACCUUUGCUCUCUUCUGAAGAAGUGGAGAUGGCACUUGAGUUGAGUUUAGUCACGUAGGCGCACUUUGUCGCACCGGUGAAAGUUGAGCUAUCAAAUAGUUUUGAAAUCUAGUGAAAUUUUGAGGUUUUCAAAUCAGUUGUUAUGGGGGAUCCCGUGAGACUAGAUGAUGGUCACCCAUCGCAAUGCUUGGGUAGUCGAUCCCCUGUCCCCUCCAUCGCGGCUCGCUGCUUGAGGGUCCGGUUUUCCUUCAAUUGGGCUCCUUGGUUAGCCAACCAUGACUGUGAUCAUCAAUAGUCGUACUCUUAUGACUAUAUGUAUCGGAGGCCAGGGUGAUCCUCCUUUUCUCAGAGCAAACCCUUCUACACUUACCAUCAUUUGCCAAUUAGUUGCAACAACCUAAUUCCCAUGUCUUAAAACAAUUAAUGUGAGUGUGCAUAUGCUAAAACCAUGUGGUCGUGAUUUUAUUACAGCCUGGGGACAAGAUGAUGGAAUAUUAAAUGGUAAAAGUCAAUGCCAAGAACGAUGGUGCCCUCUCGCGGCAUUGCAGGAGCUGCAUCUGGUUAAGGAUGACCCGCCAUUCAGCUUUUAUAACCGUGCCGGAAGGACGAUCAGCAGGACUAACAUUCUGGUCAUUUUUUGUGUUUGAUGCAACUGCACUAACAGUUCUCGUGUCGAUAGUAGUUACCUUUUCUUUUCGGAGUGGGAUUGUAUACUAAUUUACUAAUAGUACCUAAAACUUGUAAGGAGACGCUGGAGCAGUUCCUUGUCAAGGUCGGCGUGGUCCGAGGAUCUAGCACCGGCGGCCAGGCACCUGUGCCAGUCGGCUUAGUCCAUGGACAGAUGAACCCCGCGCAGCAGGAGCACCAGCUUGGCCGAAUGAUGUACCCGAUGGCACUAGCCAACAUCAUGUUCCAGGUGAUGGGCGACGACAUGGGGUUUGUCCCCAACGGGUACGUAGUGAUUUUCGUGGUGCCGCCAUCACCACCUCGUCAAGGCAGUGUGGGUAUUGUGAGCCACGGGUUGUCGGACGGGAGGAGCGCCAUGACUAAAGCUGACAUGAUGAACUACAUGGGCGACAGAGCGAUGAUGGAGAACGGCGGCGCCCGGAAACACGGUGCCCCGGAUGAUCAGUCCUGCAAGAGGAGUAUCGAGCGUUGCCACCGCCGCAUGAUCAAGAACCGCGAGUCAGCCACACGAUCGUGUGCCAGGAAGCAGGUACUUACCUUGCUGCCAAAAUUGUUGGUUUUUAUGCAAUGCCAUUUCUGCAACGGUGGUAACAAUGUUGGUGACACUUGCAGUCUCUGUCUUUCUCAAUCCUACAGGCUUAUACCGUGGAGCUUGAAGCUGAACUGAACCACCUCAAGGAGGAGAAUGCACGUCUGAAAGCUGAGGAGGUACGGAGCUGCAGACCAGUGAAAACCAUGAGAAAAUUCAGUUUUCAUGUUCUUUUGAGUUCUUACCGUUACUAAACUGUUUCAUUGUUUUGUUGCAGAAGACAAUUCUGCUGACCAAGAAAAAAAAUGGUAUGUACAUUUUCCCACCAUCACCUGGAACACUCGCUACCACUUGCCAAUUGCUUCUACCAAUCUAAUUUGUAAGUCUUAAAGCAGUUAAUGUGUGUGUGCUGAUGAAAACACCUUGUGGCCAUGAUCUUUUUUCUUACAGCUGGUGGAGAAGAUGAUGGAGCAGCCCAAGGAGAACGUGAACGCCAAGAAGGAUGGCGCCUUGUUGCGGCCCUACGGCAGCUGCAUCUGGUGAAAGGUGACCUGCCAUUCAACUUCCAUAGCCGUGCUGGCAAGAGGAUGAGAAUGAAUUGUGGUUACCUUUCCUUUCUGGAGCGGGUGGUAUCAUAAUUUACUAGAAGUACCUAAAACCCGUAAGGAUCCAAUGUCAGUGUUUAUCUGGUCAAGCAAGUGAACUUGUGUUGUUGUUACUAGUAAAUGUGUUUGUCAGUGGUAUCAUAAUUUCUACUAGUAGUACCUAAAACCCGUAAGGAUCCUUUACCAGCUAGUGGAGUACUGUUUAUAUGUAUAUGGGUUUGUCAGAAACUUCGGACAAAUGAAAGCUGAGGUGGUACGGAGCAGCUGACCAGUGAAAAUCAUGAGAAAAUUCAGUUUUCAUAUUCUUUUUCAGUUCUUACCAUUACUAAACGGUUUCAUUGUUUUGUUUGCAGAAGAAAAUUCUGCUGACCAAGAAACAAAUGGUAUGUACUUCUUCCCACCAUCACCUGGAAAUCCUCCAACAGUCGCCACCACUUGCCAAUUGCUUGCAACAAUCUAUUGUAAUUUCUAAUUCCUAAAACAGUUAAUGUGUGCAUGCUGAUGGAAACGCCUUCUGGCGGUGAUCUUUAAUUUUUUACAGCUGGUGGAGAAGAUGAUAGAACAGUCCAAGGAGAACGUGAACGCCAAGAAGGGCGGCACCCUCUCACGGUGCUGCGGCAACUGCAUCUGGUGAACGGUGACCCACCAUCCAGCUUCCAUAACCGUGCUCGCUGGAGGAUGAGGAGGAAUUGUGGUGUUUAUAGCAGUAACAUUUUCUUUCUUGAGUGGGGUCGUUUAGUAAUUUACUAGUACUACCUAAAACCAUAAGGACCUAAAUGUUAGUGUUUAUCUGGUCAAGCAAGUGAACUUGUGUUGUUGUUAUUGUUUAUAGGUAUAUGGGUUUGUCAGAACUUCAGACAAAUGGAACAAAAGAAAAUUAGCAAUAUGUUGAUGUGUACUCGCGCUUUAAUAUGAUGUGAUGCAAUGUAUGUGGUCAAUUUCUGGUGUGUGUGUGGGGGGUGGGGGGUCACCUUUGCUUUCGAGUUAAGAGUUUAGUCACGUAGAUGUACUUUACUACGUCUGUGAAAUUUGAGCCAUUCAAAUAGUUUUUAAAUCUAGUGAAAUUUGAGCUAUUCAAAUAAGUGGCCACACAAGAUCCCGUGAGACUUGACGGGUGGUCACGCAUCGCAAUGCUUGGGUAGUAGAGUCCCUUUCCCCUCUAGGCCUCCACCAUAGCUUGAUGCUUGAGGGUCUAGCUAGCCUUCAGUUGCGCUCCUUGGUUGGCCAACCAUGAUGGCUAUCAUCAACCUUCAUAUUCUUACAGCUCUAUGCAUCGGAGGCUAGGGGUGAUCCUCUUUUUUCUCAGGAAAAAAAAUACUCCUUACCAACAUUCGCCAAUUGCUUGCAAGAAGCUAAUUGCCAAAUCUUAAAGCAGUUAAUGUGUGUGUGCGCGCACGCUGAUGGUAACACCCUGUGGUCGUGAUUUUUUUUAUUAUCGGUGAAGAAGAUGGAAUAGUCAAAGGAGAACGUCAACGCCAGGAAGGAUGACACCCUGUCACGGCCCUAUGGUAGCUUCAUCUGGUGAACGGUGACCCGCCAUUCAACUUCCAUAGCCGUGCUGGCAGGAGGAGGACUUGAAGUCUGGUUGUUUUGUGUGUUUGAUGGAACUGCAACAGCGACAAUUGUGGUGUUUAUACUAGUUACCUGUUCUUUUCAAAGUAGGAUGAUUUAUUAAUUUAGUAGUGGUAACUAAAAUCCAUAAGGACCCAAAUAUAAGUGUUUAUCUGGUCAAGCAAGUAAACUUGUGUUGCUGUUACUAUUUAUAGGUGAUGAUGGGUUUGACAGAAACUUCAUACAAAUGGAACAAAAGAAAAUUAGCAAUAUGUUGAUGUGUACUCCGAAAGUCCCCUUCUACUUCUGCGGUCAGUUGAGUUCAGGAUGAAUAGUAAAUUCAAAAAAAUGAUAAAGAAAACUUCAAUAAAUUUUGAAUUUUUUGGGUGUAAAACUUGACAAAUGUUCUCGGUGCUUGCAAAUUUCAUCCUGAAUAACAUUCGUGGAAGUCAUGAAAAAAACAUAAAACUUGAAAAUGCUUUCGAAAAUCGCAUUUCUAGAGUGUCGAUUUUGUUUUUUUACUAUGACUUCGAAGAAUAUAAUUUCAGGAUAAAAUUUGCAAGCAUUGAGAACAUUUGUCAAAGUUUGCACCUAAAAAUUCAGCUUUUUUUUACUUGUUUUGAUUUUAUUGUUCAUUAUAGAGCAUAUGAGCUUGGGACCAUACUUUGUGUCAUGUGUACUCGCGCUUUAAUAUGAUGCAAUGCUAUGUGUGUACCUGUGUAUGCUGGAGUCUUUGCCUUUUCUAUCUUCUGAAGAAGUCGAGAUGACACAUGAGUUGAGUUUAGUCAUGUAGGCGCACUUUGUCGCGUAAGUGAAAUUUCUUCCAUUCAAAUAGUUAUUAAAUCCAAUGAAAUUUAAGCUAUUCAAAUCAGUGGUCAGACGAAAUCCUGUGAGAGUUGAUAGUAGUUAGCUUUUCUUUUCGGAACAGCAUCAUAUAGUCAUUUCCUAGUGCUACCUAAAACCCAAAAGGACCAAAAUGUCAGUAUUUAUCUGGUCAAGCAAGUGAACUUGUGUUGUUAUUAGUAUUUAUAUAUAGGUGAUGAUACAUUUGUGAGAAACAUUAGAGAAACGGAACAAAAGAAAGUUAGCAAUAUGUUGAUGUGUACUCGCGCUUUAUUAUGAUGCAAUGCUAUGUGUGUGGUCUACUUCACCUUUUCUCUCUUCUCAAGAAGUGGAGACACACGAGUUGAAUUUAGUCACAUGGAUGCACUUCUCGUGUCCGUGAAAGCUAUUCAAAUAGUUUUUAAAUCCAAUGGAAUUUGAGCUAUUCAAAUCACCGGCCAAAUGGGAUUCCAUGAGAUUUGAUAGUGCUCAUUCAUCGCAAUGCUUGGGUAGUUGGUCCCCUUUCCUCUCCAUUGCGGCUCGCUGCUUGAGCGUCCAGCUAGCCUUUAGUUGUGCUCCCUGAUUGGCUAACCAUGACGGUGAUUGAUACGUCCAUUCUGCAUCAUGCUUUUAUAUUGAUAUUUAUUGCAUUAUGGGCAGUUAUUACACAUUAUAGCACAAUACUUAUGCCUUUUCUCUUUUAUUAUACAAGGUUUACAUGAAGAGGGAGAAUGCCGGCAGCAGGAAUUCUGGACUGGAAAAGGAGCAAAUCUGAGAGACCUAUUCUGUACAACUCCAAAAGUCCUGAAACUUCAUAGAGAAUUAUUUUGGAAUUAAUAAAAAAUAUUGGGCGAAGAAAGUACUAGAGGGGCCCCACCAGGAAGGCACAAGGGUGGGGGCGCACCCCCUAUCUUGUGGGCCCCCUAGCAGGCCUCCGGUGCCCAUCUUCUGCUAUAUGAUUUGUUUUGAUCUAGAAAAAAACAAGAGGAAACUUUCGGGACGAAGCGCCGCCGUCUCGAGGCAGAACCCGGGCAGAAGCAAUCUAGGGCUCCGGCGGAGCUGUUAUGCCGGGGAAACUUCCCUCUCGUAGGGGGAAAUCGAAGCCAUCGUCAUCACCAAUGGUCCUCUCACCGAGAGGGGGUCAAUCUCCAUCAAUAUCUUCAUCAGAACCAUCUCCUCUCAAACCCUAGUUCAUCUCUUGUAUCCGGUCUUUUUCUCAAAACCUCAGAUUGGUACCUGUGGGUUGCUAGUAGUGUUGAUUACUCCUUGUAGUUGCCGCUAGUUGGUUUAUUCGGUGGAAGAUCAUAUGUUCAGAUCCUUAAUGAUAAUUAAUACUCCUCUGAUUAUGAACAUGAAUAUGCUUUGUGACUAGUUACGUUUGUUCCUAAGGACAUGGGAGAAGUUUUGUUAUAAGUAAUCAUGUGAAUUUGGUAUUCGUUCGAUAUUUUGAUGAGAUGUAUGUUGUCUCUCCUCUAGUGGUGUUAUGUGAGCGUCGACUACAUGACAUUUCACUAUGAUUUGGGCCUAGGGGAAGGCAUUGGGAAGUAUUAAGUAGAUGAUGGGUUGCUAGAGUGACAGAAGCUUAAACCCUAGUUUAUGCGUUGCUUCGUAAGGGGUUGAUUUCGGUCCACAUGUUUCAUGCUAUGGUUAGAUUUAUAUUAAUUCUUAUUUCAUAGUUGCAGAUGCUUGCGAGAGGGGUUAACCAUAAGUGGGAGGCUUGUCCAAGUAAGGACAGCACACAAGCACCGGUCCACCUACAUAUCAAAUUAUCAAAGUAACGAACGUGAAUCAUAUGAGCAUGAUGAAAACUAACUUGACAGUAAUUCCCAUGCGUCCUCGGGAGCGCUUUGCAUUCUAUAAGAGUUCGUCCAGGCUUGUCGUUUGCUACAAAAAGGAUUGGGCCACCUUGCUGCACCUUAGUUACUUUUGUUACUUGUUACCCGUUACGAAUUAUCUUAUCACAAAACUCUCUCUUACCGAUAAUUUCAAUGCUUGCAGAGAAUACCUUGCUGAAAACCGCUUAUCAUUUCCUUCUGCUCCUAAUUGGGUUCGACACUCUUACUUAUUGAAAGGACUAUGAUAUAUCCCAUAUACUUGUUGGUCAUCAGUGAUCAUCAACCCUCAUACUCUUAUGGCUGUGAGAAUCAGAGGCCAUGAGCGAUCCUUCUUUUCUAAGAAAAAAAACCUCUUGCACUUACCAUCAUUUGCCAAUUGCUUGCAACAAACCAACUGCCAAGUCUUAAAACAAUAAAUGGGUGCGUGUUGAUGGUAACACCCUAUGGUCGUGAUUUUUUUACACCUGGUGUUGAAGAUGAUGUAAGACUCCAAGGAGAAUGUCAACGCCAAGAAGGGUGGUGCCCUGUCGCAGCACAACGACAAUUGCUUCUAGAGAAUGGUGGAACGCCAUUUAGCUUCCAUUGUCGUGUUGGUAGGAGGAUGAGGAGGAAUUUCAUUCUGGUCAUCUUGUGUGUUUGAUGCAACUACAAUGACAAAUGUGGUGUUGAUAGUACCUUCUCUUUUUAUAGUGGGAUGGUAUAGUAAUUUACUAGUAGCACCUAAAACCCAUAACGACCCAAAUGUUAGUGUUUAUCUGGUCAAGCAAGUGAACUUGCAUUUUUAUUACUAUUUAUAGGUGAUGAUGGGUUUGUCAGAAACUUCAGGCAAAUGGAAGAAAAGAAAAUUAGCAAUAUUUUGAUGUGCACCCGCGCUUUAAUAUGGUCUGAUGCUAUGUGUGUGGUCCAAUUCAGAUUUGUGUGUGAAUCUUUGCCUUUGCUUUCUUCUGAAGAACUGGAGAUGACGCACAAGUUAAUAACAUAGGCACACUUUGUUGUUUUGAUGAAAUUUGAGCAUUUAAGUAGUUUUUCAAUCUAGUAAAAUUUGAGCUAUUAAUAUCAAUGGUCACGUGGGAUCCCGUGAGACUUGACGGUGGUCACCCAUUGCAAUGCUUGGGUAGUCGAUCCCCUUUCCCCUCCAUCGCAGCAUGCUGCUUGAGGGUCCAAUGAGCCUUUAGUUGUGCUCCCUAGUAGGCCAACCAUGAGAGUGAUCAUCAACCCUCAUACUCUUAAGGAUGUGUGCAUCGGAGGCCAAGGGUGAUCCUCCUUUUCUAGAAAAAAAGCCUCACACACUUACAAUCAUUUACCAAUUGCUUGCAUCAACCUAAUUGGCAAGUCUUAAAAUAGUUAAUGUGUGCGUGCAGAUGGUAACACCCUGUGGUUGUGGUUUUUUUUACAGCUGGUGGAGAAGAUGAUGAAACAGUCCAAGGGGAGCAUGAACGCCAAGAAGGGUGGAGCCCUGUUCCGGCGCCGCAACAACUGCAUCGUGAAUGAUGACCCACCAUUCAGCUUCCAUAAACAUGCUGGCAGGAGGAUGAGAAAGCCUUGCAUUCUUGCCUUUUUGUGUGUUUGAUGCAACUACAACGACAUUUGUGGUGUCGAUAGUAGAGUUACCUAUUCUUUUUGGAGCGGGGUGGUAUAGUAAUUUACUAUAGUAGCACCGAAGACCCAUAAGGACCCAAAUGUUAACAAGUGAACUUGUGUUGUUGUUGCAGUUUAUAGGUAAUGAUGGGUUUGGUAGAAACUUUAGUCAACGGAAAAAAAUAAACAAUACGUUGAUAUGUACUCAUGCUUUAAUAUGAUGGGAUGUUAUGUGUGUGUCCCAUUUUGGAUGUGUGUGUGGGAGUCUUCACCUUUUCUCUCUUCUAAAGGAGUGGAGAUGACACACGAAUUGAGUUUAGUCACAUAGGCACACUUAGCCGCGUGUGUGAAAUUUGAGGUAUUCAAAUAGUUUUUAAAUACAAUGAAGUUUGAGCUAUCAAAUCCGUGGUCAUGCGGGAUCCCGUGAGACUUGACGGUGAUCACCCAUUGCAAUGCUUGGGUAGUCGAUUCCCUUUCCCCUCUGUCGUGGCUCGUAGCUUGAGGGUCCAACUAGCCUUCAGGUGCUCCCUGGUUGGCCAACCAUGACGACGAUCAUCAACCUGCAUACUCAUAUGGCUAUGUGCAUCGGAGGCCAGGGGUGAUCAUUCUUUUCUAAGAAAAAACCCUCCUACGCUUACCAUCAUUUGCCAAUUGCUUGGAAAAACCUAAUUGCCGAGUCUAAAGCCAGUUAGUGUGUGCGUGUUGUUGGUAACACCCUGUGGUCGUGAUAUUUUUUCAUAGCUGGUGGAGAAGAUGAUGGAAUAGCCUAACGAGAACGUCAAUGCCAAGAAGGGUGGCACCAGGUCACGGCACUACGGCAACUGCAUCUAGUGAACGGCGACCCACCUUUGAGAUUCCAAAGCUGUGCUGGCAGGAGGAUGAGGAGGACUUGCAUUCUGUCCAUUUUGUGUGUUUGAUGCAAGUUGGGCGACAAUUGUGGUGCUGAUAGUAGUUACCAUUUCUUUUCGGAGCGGGAUGGUAUAGUAAUUUAGUGGUAGUACCUAAAACUCGGAAGGACCAAAAUGUCAGUGUUUUUCUGGUCAAGCAAGUGAACUUGAGUUGUUGCUAUUGUUUGUAGGUGAUGAUGGGUUUGUCAGAAACUUUAGACAAUCGAAAGAAAAUAAAAUUAGUAAUAUGUUGAUGUGUACUCGCACUUUAGUAUGAUACGAUGCUACGUUUGUGAUCCAUUUCGAAUGUAUGUGUGGGAGUCUUCACAUUUGCUCUCUUCCAAAGAAGUGGAGAUGACACAUGAUUUGAGUUGAGUCACAUAGGCGCAAUUUGUCGGGUUGACAAAAUUUGAGCUAUCAAAUAGUUUUUGAAUUUUGUAAAAUUUGAGGUAUUCAAAUCAGUGGUUACGUGGGAUCCUUUUACCAUGGUCGCCAAUUGCAAUGCUUGGGUAUUUGAUACCCUUUCCCCUUCAUCGUGGAUCACUGCUUGAGGGUCUAGCUAGCCUUCAGUUCGGUUCCUUGGUUUGCCAACGAUGACUACGAUCAUCAACCCUUAUACUUUUAUGGCUGUGUGCAUCAGAGGUUAGGGGUGAUCCCCCUUUUUUUAGAAAGAAACCCUCCUACACUUACCAUCAUUUCCCAAUCGCUUCAACAACCAAAUUGCCAAGUCUUAAAAAAGUUAAUGUGAGUGUGCAGAUGGUAACACCCUAUGGUCGUGAUAUUUUUACAGCUAGGGGAGAAGAUGGUGGCAUAUUCCAUGGUGAAAGUUAAUGCCAAGAACGGUGGUGCCCUCUCGCCACACUGUGGCAGCUACAUCUGGUGAACGCUAACCGUCCAUUAAGCUUCUAUAGCUGAUCCGGUAGGAGGAUGAGGAGGACUUGCAUUCUGGCCAUUUUGUGUGUUUGAUGCAUAUACAACGACAAUUGUGUUUUUGAUAGUAGUUACCUUUUCUUUUCUGAGCGGAAUGGUAUAAUAAUUUACUAGUAGUGCCUAAAACCCAUAAGAACCCAAACAUUAGUGUUUAUCUGGUGGUCAAGAAAGUGACUUGUGUUGUUGUUACAUUAAUACAUGAUGAUUGGUUUGUCAGAAACUUCAGACAAUAGGAGCAAAUGGAAAUUAGGAAUAUGUUGAUGUGUAUUCAUGCUUUAGUAUGACACGAUGUUAUGUGUGUGGUCCAUUUCGGAGUGUGUGUGGGAGUCUUCGCCUUUGCUCCCUUCUGAAGAAGUGGAAUGACAAACGAGUUAAGUUUAGUCACGUAGUCGCACUUUGCCACGCUGGUGAAAUUUGAGCUAUUCAAAUAGUUUUUAAAUCAAGUGACAUUUGAGUUAUUCCAACCAACGGUCGCGCGAGAUCCUGUUAGAAUUGAUGGUGGUCACCAAUUGCAACUCUUGGUAGUCGAUCCCCUUUUCCUCCGUCGCGACUCGUUUCUUGAGGGUUCGGCUAGCCUUUAGUUGCACAACCUGGUUGGCAAACCAUGACAACCUUCAUCUACCCUGACACUAUUAUGGAUGUGUGCAUCGAAGGCCAGGGGUGAUCCUCCUUUUCUAAGAAAAGACCAUCCUACACUUACCACAAUUUUCCAAUUCAGUCCAACAACCAAUUCCUUCCAACAACCUAAUUGCCAUGUCUGACAAAGUUAAUAUGUGCAUGCUGAAGGAAACACCUUGUGGUCAUGAUUUUUUUUACAACUGGUGGAGAAGGUGAUGGAACAAUCCAAGGAGAACGUCAACAACAAGAAGGGUGGUGCUCUCUCACGGCACUACAAUAGCUACAUCUGGUGAACGGUGACCCGCCAUUCAGCCUCUACAGCCGUGCUAGCAGGAGGAUCAGUAGGACUUGCAUUCUAGCUAUUUUGUGUGUCUGAUGCAGCUGCAACAACAAUUCUGGUGUUGAUAGUGGUUACCUUUUUUGCAGCAAGAUGGUAUAGUAAUUUACCAGUAGUACCUAAAUUCCAUAAGGAAUAAAAUGUCAGUAUUUAUGUGGUCAAGCAAGUGAACUUGUAUUGUUUGUUACUGUUAAUAGAUGAUGAUGGGUUUGUUAGAAACUUCAAAAAAACAGAACAAAAGGAAAUUAGCAAUAUGUUGAUGUGUACUCAAGUUUUAAUAUGACGUGAUGCUAUGUGUGUGUGGUCCAUUUCAGAUAUGUGUGUGGGAGUCUUCGGCUUUCCUCUCUUCUGAAGAAGUGGAGAUGACACUCGAGUUGAGUUUAGUCACGUAGGCACACUUUGCCGCAUCGGUGAAAGUUUAGUCAUUAAAAUAGUUCUUAAAUCUAGUGAAAUUUGAUCUAUUCAAAUUAGUGGUUACGUGGGUAUCCUUGAGACUUGUCGGUGGUCAACCAUCAUAAUGCUUGGGUAGUCGAUCCACUUUCUCCCUCCGUCAUGACUUGCUGAUUGAUGGUCCGACUAGCCUCCAGUUGCGCUCCCUCGUUGGCCAACCAUGAUAGCGGUCAUCAACCCCGAUACUCUUAUGGCUAUGUGCAUUGGAUGCCAGGGGUGAUACUUCUUUUCUAAGAAAAAAACACUCCUACACUUACCAUAAUUUGCCAAUUUCUUGCAACAACAUAAUUGCUAAUUCUUAAAACAGUUAAUGUGAGUGUGCUGAUGGUAACACCUUGUGGUCAUGAUUUUUCUAUAGCUGAGAAGAUGAUGUAAUAGUCCAAGGAGAACGUCAACACAAGAAGGGUGGCGCCCUGUCCCGGCGCUGCGGUAGCCGCAUCUUGUGAAUGUUUGGCGCUUUGGCAGCACCCUAUUUAUCCAGUAUGAGACGCACUUACUAUUCUGUAUCGAUAUAUCUAUAGCUGACCUUUUUCAUCAAUCACGUUAAUUUAAUAGCUAUCUAAUGCUUUAAUUGAUGCUUAUUUCUUGCAUGCGGUAGGCUAUAAAUAGGGGGGUGGCGCACAAGACUGAACCACACACCACAAACAAGAGCGUACAUAGAGACCACAAUGGAGAGAUAUGAUGGCUUCAGAGAUGAGCAAAGAUGUGAAGUUCUUCGAAGAAGAAGUCACCUCACACCCUCGCAUUCUUAAAGGUGAGGAACAAAAUGGUUGCGCCUGCGCGGCAGCCUUAAAUCUUCACGCUGAUGCUGGACGAGCUGCAAUAGUCGAUGUGCAAGGUGGGGCACAAUUUUGGGUCCAUGAACAUGGAUGAGUUCAUGAGCGACAUAUGGAAUGCCGAGGAGUUCCAUGCGGCUCCCAACCGUGGCUUGGUGGGCAGUGAGGAGGCUCGUGGUGGGUGUUGGUCGAAGCGAAAGUGGUGGGGAUGCUGGAGUAAGCGACCUAUGCCGGUUGGGAUCCUUCUCCUUGCCUCCCCGACUGUGCCGAGAGAUAGUGGAGGAGGUGUGGGCUAAGAUCAAUAGGGAGCCCCGACCGGUGCAUGACCAGCCUCUGGCCGCGCCUCUGUCAUCGCAGCUUCUUGUCUAGCCAAUGGUGGCGAAUGGGAGAAAGUCUUUUUGUGCAGUGAUGCUACCUAGCGGCAACAAAUCUGCCAUUCAUUGCUUGCCUCAACAUACGUGCAGACGGGACCACUUUAUUCUCAUUUUAUCCUAUACACUAGUAUACAUCAUCAAAAUACAGCUAGUGGUCCCCAUUGUUUGUCUUUGGCAUGGAUGCAUGGCAGAAAUAUGAUAGUGUGCUCUCUCUCUCUCUCUCUCUCUCUCUCUCUCUCUUCGGUUUAAAUCCAACCUUUUAUUAAAUUUAAUCAUCCAUAUCUUUUAAAGCAUAAGUUCAUAUUUGAUUUAUUUUUAUAUAUUUGAACUCCUUGUGCCAAGGCCUUUUAAACAAGACCGAUCUUGAAUACAUUUCGAAAACAUUUAAAUUUCAACGUUUCAUAUUCCAUAUGUGAACCAAAUCAAUAUCACUAAAUUUUAUAAAAAACUAUUUCAACAGAAAUAUUUAAAACCAUUGUAUUUUACUAGAAACCAAUGACUUUUUGAAAUUGAUUUUUUGAAAUGUGUCACAGUUUAUUUCGAAAGACUGAAAAUGUUUUUUCAAAAAUGUGCAAUUGAAAUAGAUGUGAUUUUUGUAAAACACACCCGUGAAAUAUUACACGUAGGUUUUGAAUUGUGACAUAGUAACCACAAAAUGUGAAAAUGAUUUUUUGAAAGAGUGAAAUAUGUUUUUUUUGAAAAAUGUGUAACUAAAAUAGAUGUGAUUUUUGUGAAACAUAACUGUGAAAUGUAAAAAUGUAGGUUCUGAAUUGUGAAAUACUAACCACAAAAUGUGAAAUUAUAAUGUACAAAUGUGAAACUGAUUAUUUCAAAAGAGUGAAAUAUGUUUUUCCAAAAAUGCGUAACUAAAAUAUAUGUGAUUUUUGUGAAACAUGACAGUGAAAUGUAAAAUGCAGGUUCGGAAUUGCGAAAAUAUGAACCACAAAAUGUGAAUUACAAUGUAUAAAUGUGAAACUGAUUAUUUCAAAAGUGUGAAAUCUGUUUUUUCAAAAAUAUGUAAUUGAAAUAUAUGUGCUCUUCCUGAACCUAGCCAGUGUGAGUGAAAUGUAGGUUGUGAAUUAUGAAAGAGUAACUACAGAGAGUGAAAUUCUAUUGUAUCAUUUCUGAAACUGAUUGUUUGAACAUGUGUAAUAGUUUUUUCAAAAGAGUGAAAUAUCUUGUUUGAGAAAUGUGCAAUUUAAAUAGGUUUUUUAUUUGUGAAGCAAGCCUGUGAAAAGUGAAAUGUAGGUUAUGAAUGGUGCAAUAGCCACUAUAGAAAGUGAAACUGUAAUGUAUCAUUGUGAAAUAGAUUAUUUUGACAUGUGAAAUAUAUGUUUAAAUUUAAAUAUGGUUAAAAAACAUUCAAGAUUGAUCUCAUUUUAAAGGUUUUCGCGCAAGGAGUUCAAAUAUAAAAAAAGUUUCACAAAUGAAUAUAUAUAUGGUUUAAAAUAUAUGGAUGUUUUAAAUUAGCUAAGGAGGAAGAAAUGGUUGGAUUUAUUGUGUGGGAGAAGAAAAAGUGUUUCUGCCACACUGUCAUGCAUGCAUGUGAAGUACACUAGUGGGGGUCAACUAUUGAAGAGAGAUAGUGGAAAUACGAAGAUGGGAAAUUCAGAAAAGAAAUGUAAUACAAAGAUACUUGACCCACAUAGUGUUAGAUGGCAGCUCCCUAUUGGACACCACCUAGACGGUAGGUAGAGCAACCUUGCAAUUUUACAUUUUGUGGAGAAUGGCGGUUCCGUUGCGGCCAACGACUGGGAGGGUGCGCUUGGAGAGAUCAAGUUGUAGCAGUUCCUUGUCAAGGCCAGCAUGGUCCGGAGAUCUGCCAUCGGCUAGGCACCUCUGCCGGUCGGCCUGAUCCAUGGAGAGAUGGACCCCGCGCAGUAACCUGGCCCAAUGAUGUACCCGAUGGUACCGACCAACAACAUGUUCCCGGUGAUGGGCGAUGACAUGGGGUUCGUCCCCAAUGGGUACGCAGGGAUGACCAUGGUGCCACCGCCACCACCUUCUCAUGGUGGGGUGGGUAUCGAGAGCCCCGGGUCAUCAGACGGGAGGAGCACCAUGACAUAGGCUGACAUGAUGAACUGCAUGGGCGACGGACCGAUGAUGAAUGGUUACACCCGAAAAUGCGGCGCCCUGGAGGAUCAGUCCUGCAAGAGGAGGAUCGAGCGUCAUCACCGUCGCAUGAUCAAGAACCGUGAGUCAGCCGCAUGAUCGCGUGCCAAAUAGAUACUUACUUUGCUGCCAAAACUGUUGGUUUUUAUGCAAUGCCAUUUCUGCAAUGGUAGUAACAAGGUGGUGACAUGUACAUACUAUCUUUGUUAAUCCUACAGGAUUAUACUAUGGAUCUUGAAGCUGAACUGAACCACCUUAAGGAGGAGAAAGCAUGUAUGAAAAUUGAGGAGGUACAGAGCUGCUGACCAGUGAAAACCAUGAGACAAUUCAGUUUUCUUAUUCUUCUCAAUUCUUACAGUUACUAAACAGUUUCAUUGUUUUGUUGAAUAAGACAAUUUUGCUGACCAAGCAACAAAUGGUACGUACAUUUUCCCACCAUCGCCUGAAAAUCCUCCUAUACUCGGGAUCACUUGCCAGUUGCUUGUAACAAUCUAAUUGCUAAGUCUUAACAUAGUCAAUGUGUGUGUGCUGAUGGAACCAACUUGUCGUCAUGAUCUUUUUUCUUACAGCUUGUGGAGAAGAUGAUGGAACUAUCCAAGGAGAACGUGAACCCCAAGAAAGGUGGUUUAUGAGGAUAUUCCCCACGACCAAGAUCCGGCUCAUAAGGAUAAGCCGCCCUGAAGCUUAAGUCAUCUCUGGGCUUAAGUUGCCCUGACAUUAGGUCAUCUCUGGGCUUAAGCAGCCAUGUUAAGUCCUCUCUAGACUUGAGCAACCAUGUAAGUCCUCUCUGGAGUUAAGCAGCCAUUGUAACCAUCCAUCUUAACCCGCCAUGAUGAGUCAAGGAGAUGAGUCUCAGAAGAUGAGAUGCCUGAAGAUAAGCCCUGAAGAUAAGUCCUGAAGGUAAGUUGUCCAGCUGUAAGCCGCCCGGCUGGAGAUAAGAAGACCAGGAUUCAGAAGCCCAUGGUGAGAAGCCCGUGAUAGGAAGUCAGAAAUAGGCUAAUUCCUAAUCCUACUAGGACUCUACAUGUAAACCCGCCCCUUCAACUUAUAUAAGGAGGGGUAGGGCACCCCAAGAGGCUCAAGUUCUUUACAGGUUAAGAUUGGGCUUAGACAGACAAAUCUUAGACAAGAUCAAAGUAGAUGCUUUCAAUAGAGGUAGCGAAACACCGCCCUUGUAACCUAGAUCGUCAUCAUAAUCAUCAAUAUCAAUGAAGCAGGAUGUAGGCUUUUACCUCCACCACGAGGGGCCAAAUCUAGGUAAAUUCUCGCGUCUCUUGUCCCGCUCAACCCUGUUCAAGCUACAAAUUAGAUGCGUUGGCCUCACGACUAAGUCCUUGCAGAAGGACAUCUUGUCGGAUUACGGGUUCCGCAAACCCUUGAGAGGUUUGAACUCUGGGGUGCGUGCGAAGAUCUCACUCUCCCCAGUCUACCGACUCGCUAAUCUCACAGCCUAACGCGUCGAGCUUGAAGGAAAUGGGACACAACAGUUUACCUAGGUUCGGGCUAACUUGAGGUGUAAAACCCUACUCCUGCUUUGUGGUGGAUUUUCCUCGAGGGGCUUAGGAAGAACUAGUACAGUGGGGAACAACCCCAGGAGGUGAGUUCUUGGGCUCAAGUGAGGUUGUGAGCUGGUGAGGAUGGAAUGGAUCCGAUCUCUCCCCCCUGUGGUGGUGGCUAGGUCCUAUUUAUAAUGGCCUUGGUCCUCUUCUCGAAUGGAGGCGGGAAGGGAUCCCGCAAUGGACAAAUUUGAAGGGAGACAACAAGUACAUCUUAUCCUGACUAAAGUAGUCUUUGCCUGCAAAAGCCUCUGGUCAUGACACUGUGGUGGGCUCGGCGAUGACCUUCGUCCUGCCGUCCUGGCGGUCUUGGUCUUGUUGCACGGGAAUGGAAUCCUUUGGCUGCUUCCUCGGGACCCCAUGCCUGUUGCUUGCCUCCUUUGCACCGAAGAGGAAAAUGGGACACUACGCGCACUAGCGCCCGCCUGGCCUCGAUCGUCAUGGCUCACGUCACCCGAACCUCACAAUGUGAGCAUUGCAUCGAAAUCUCUGCUCCUCAGGAGCCAGCCUGAGGAGGCUAAUCCCCUUGGAGGUCUUGGUGUCGUCCGCCUCACGAGGCUUGGCCCCUUGCGAGGGUCUCGAGUAGUUGAUGUUGAAAUUGGGCCUUACCAGGUCGUUGAUGGAGCCACGCUGCAGGCCGCAGGCAGGCAAGUCUGGGUACCCCCGUAUCCAGAACACCGACACUAGCCCCCGGGCCCAAGGCGCGCUCGGUCUUGGCUUCUAGGCAAAGCCAAAGGGCAUGUGCGGAGCACCGUAGGCCCUAACCGCCCGCGGCCUUGGAUGACGCGUGGCGAUUGAUGGGACGUGGGUGUCUCCACUUCCCCAUGCUGCCUCGGCAACUGUUCCUAGUUGACAAAAAGGCUGGCACCUGCCGCAAAGCCUCCAUCGCCCUCCUUCCAUCUUGCUCCAGAUCCGCUUUUCUCUCCGCGCCAAAAAAUCCUCCAGAUCUGCCGGUUUCCCCCACCAAUCUUGUGCCCAAUGGCCUCCGGCAAGGCGAAGUCUCCGUCCCCGACCACGCGCUCGGCCCCCUGGUUCGAGCCAGCCCUGGGCGCGUCCACCAACACUGAAGAGAAGCACCUUGCCGCCGCGCUCCAACUUACGGCGAGCAACGAUAGCGAGGGGGGAGAGACGGCGCUCCGGGUUGGCUCUGCCAAACUGGAAUCCUUGGCCGGUACCUUCUACCCCUUCUUCCUGCACAGUGUUUACGCCGGGUUGGCCCACCUUUCUCCCGCUUCUUCUACACCGUCCUUCGCCAUUGCGAGCUUCACGCCCUCCAUCUUCACCCCAACUCCAUCCUCCUCCUGUCCAUCUUUGCCUUCUACUGCGAGGCGUUCGUGGGGGUGAUGCCCUCCGUUGCGCUGCUUCGCCACUUCUUCUACCUCCGGGUGAACGACAGCCAGUGCACAGGAUGGUCCUCCUUCGUUGCAGCCAAAGGCAGCAACACGAUCUCCCGCACCGGGAAGAAGGUGGAGGACUUCUGGAACAAGUGGAUCUUCAUGGACGCCAAGUGCUCGCAUGCCCUAUUGGAGCUGCCAACUGGGCUUCCAACGUCCAGAGAAGGGUGGUCUCACGAGAAUCUCACCGACCCCCUGGCGAAGCCGCUGCUGAAGAAGAUGGCGGCUGACUUGAAGGCGGAGAAGCCAACGGGGGCCAUGAUCGUUAGAGAGUUCCUCAUGCAGCACCUGGUGCCGGUCUAGGAGCAAUCCCGCCCCUUGUGGAAGCUUGGGGGCAUAGAAGACAAGCUCCGGCUGUGCCCGGACAGCCUUUCGACAAGGAGCUGAGCAUGGUCAUGCACUCCUUGCUCGGGAAGGACCAGAGCAGCCCCCCGAACGACCACCUCCCGUUGUACCACCGAGAUGACGGGUAGGGGAUAGUCGCCGCCAUGCCUAUCUUCAAUGAGUGCGGGCUCGUGUCGAUGGAGCCUUCCCUGCCGGCAGUCUCCCUGGUGGACGUGUCCUCUGGCGACCACUCCUCCGAAGCCGCCUAGGAGGCGGAGGGGGAGAACUCUCCCCCGCGGCAGAGCGACCUCCUUCGCGACUUCUCCAACGACGAUGACGCUUUUGCGCACCCGGUCAGGGAGUCGGUGCACUAUGCCAGGGUCACCACAAGUUCCCGGGGGACCCCUCCGAAGAAGCAGAGGUGAGGGGUCCUGAAGAGGGAUAGGUCGGCGUUGAUUCCCCUGAGUUGCGCUCCUGCUUCUCCUCCAUCAUCCAGCGUGGGGCCAGACAUGCACUCGUCCGCUCCUAAGAACGCAACACCGCCCGUGCCCGGGAAGUUCGCGCUUCAGGGUCUAUAGAGGAACUACGUCACCAUGAAUAAGUAAGUGCACCUCAUCACCUUUGUUCUUGGGUUUCGAGGUAGUGCUCACCAUCUUCAUCUAAUGUCAGGCCGCCGCCGGUGUUGAAGACGAAGAUGGGGGACGCUGGAUCCGCCAAGGCCAAGCGUGCCGCCAUGGUUGCUGCAGCUCCGGCUUAGAGGGGCAUAGCAGCUCCCGUCGCUCCUGCAGCCUCAGGAGGAGUCGGCUCCUGCGGUAGAGCUGACCCCGAAGGCGCCUGUCCCAGACUCGCUUGCCGGGGACCCAAGAUCUUCGGAGCCCCCGGUCCCGUCUGUAGCUGCUGCUCCGCCGGUCUUGGUGCCGACAAUGCCUCCUCUUCCAUCCAGCACGCCGUCGGGCCGUGGUGCUUCCACCGCGUCUGAAGCCCUAGAGGAGGCCUGCUCCAUGCUGGACCAGCUCCGGGAUGAUCUUCACGGUCCGGACCGGCGCAGGGUGUCGGGGCGUCAAGAGCUGGUCUCGAGAUAGCUUCAGACCGAUACGUCUAUCAGGACGGCCAGGGGCCUAGCCGUGGCGUCCACGGAGGAGGGCCAGAGGGUGGUUGGGUUAGCCGCAGCCGCCCAUGACGUGGCGCUAAAGGAAGCCAAGGAUGCACAGGAGCGCUGCCACGCGAUGGAGGCCGAGCUGAAGACCGUCCAGGAUCAGCAGGCCACCCAGGCCAAUCAGCUCAAGGUGCAGGAGGAGGAGCUAGAGGUCUAGGAGGCUGCGGGUGCUGAUCGUGAUGUUGAGCUAGCGCAGGCAGCCCAGGAACAGGCCACAGAGCGCACCACCUGGAGAAGUGGAAGGCGGAGGUGGAGGCGGCCUAGGCGUCCCAUGCCAAGGCCAAGGAGGUGGCCACCGUGGAGCACGUCGCCUUCAUCUCUCUUGAGGAGAGGUCCCACAAGGCGCUGCAGGAUCUCUUCGAGAGCGAGCGCUAGGAGACAGCGGUGACCCCGGAGCAGGGUCCGGCCGUACUGCUCCCCAAGCUCGUUGCUGCACUCGAGACCUUCAUCAUUUGGUUCGGCCCCAUGAUGGAGGGGAGGCCCGUAUGCACUCGUCCUCGGCCAUGACACGCGUCUUCAGCCAUCUCUAUCUUCGGGACACCAACUUCGACUUUGGCGCCUUGCUCGAGCCCAUGGACCCUGAGUCAUGUGCCACCACUGCGGAAGCCGUGAAGGGUCAUGUGGAGGCCCUGCUGAAGAAGUUCCUUGCGGGGCUCCCAAGGCGGGCGAUGGUGAUGUCCAAGGAUGACAGCAAGGAUGACAGCGACAUCAUUGACGACGGGGCUCCCAAGGCGGGCGAUGGUGAUGUCCAAGGCUGAAGAAGAGGCUUGAUGGCAGCUCCUCUCCCUGUUUUCAACCUGCAACAUGUAUCGUGCCUCGCGGAGGUGUAAGAACUCGGGCUUGGUACUUUUUUAAGAGACAAUGUGUUUUGUAAUAGUUUGCUAAAGUUUCGCAAUCUCUUUCCCGUUUGCUUUAGCGUUCUGCGUCGGCAGGGCCUGACCCCACACAUACCUCAUCCAUCAUUGGGUCAUACAGAUUGCCAGGACGAGGCAAAGGGGUGAGGGGCUACCUGGUUAGUUAGGAUCCUGAGACGCGAUGCUCAGGAGUCCCCCUUGAUGUACGAACAGCUUUUGGAGAGGAGAUGCGAGGGUAGGUCUUAGUGUUCUGCGUCGGCAGGGCCCGGCCCCGCGCAUACCUCAGCUUCCAUUGGGUCGUACGGAUUGCCAGGACGAGGCCAAGGGUUGAGGGGCUACAUGGCCAGUUAGGCUCCUGAGAUGCGAUGCUUAGGAGUCCCCCUUGAUGUACGAACAACUUUUGGAGAGGAGAUGCGAGAGUAGGUCUUAGUGUUCUGCAUCGGCCCGGCCCGGCCUGCGCAUACCUCAGUCGCCAUUGGGUUGUCCUGAUUGCCCUGUCCUUGAACCUUGGGACGCUCCGGAGGUCCGGGGGCUCGAGAAAAUCCAUCGCCAUCUCCGUCUAGAUCGCCUGGCGCCGGGCCUCCUGAGCCAUGAGGACGCCCCACAUGCGGCGCUGGGAUGCAACAGUUGUGUUCAGCAGACCAAAGGGCAUGCAGACAUAGCUGUGAGGGGCCCCUCGCAUCGUCCUACAUGCGACGGCCAGAAAAGCUCCUGACACACGGCCCUGUUGAGCCCCGGGAUGUCAACGUAGACGUGCAACUCCUCGUCCUCACCUGGGCCAGGAGCCGCACACGGUGGUGGGCGGUGAUCACCCCGCAUGACCCUUGCCUCCUGAAUCUCCUUGACUGUCUUGUCGACGAACUCAUGAGUGCCAGGCGCCUCGCACCCAACGCCCUCUCCGUGGAUGCGUGCCUGAAACAUGCCUCCACAUGGUGCCCGAGCACCUCCGUCGUGACACUGGCCAGGUCAGAGGCCCUCUAGAGGAGAGCCCCCGAGGCUAGCUUGAGAGGGGCACCGGGCAUGCCUUCCUAUGCGAGACGGGAAGGCGCCCCGUCCAUAGACGCCAGGCUUGAGGCGGCACCGGGGACGCCCCAUCCUCCUGAGAUCCUUGGUGGAGUUGUUGCUUCUUCUUCUUGGGAACGAAUUCAGGAGGGUGGACGGCACCCUCGUUGUCAGGGUUCUCGACCGCUGCAGCCUAGUAGGCGUGCUCGAGAGAGCACACAACGUCCUUUUCUUCAUAAGCGACCAUGAUGAUGCCGCAGUUUCCUGGCAUCUUGAGGACAUUGUAGCCAUGCUGUGUUGCCGCCAUUAGCUUGGCAAGAGCUGGGUACCCAAGGAUGGCAUUGUAUGGCAGGCGAAUGUCGGCGACGUCGAAGUCGAUGAGCUUGGUGCGGUAGCUGUCGCGCUUGCCGAAGGUGAUGGGGAGGCGGACAUGACCGAUCAGAUGUGUGGAGCCGUUGGUCACUCCUGAGAAGUGCUUGGUAGGUUGAAGCUGGUGAUACGACACUUGGAGCCUGUUGAACAUCUGGAUAGAGAGAACAUUGAGCCCUGCGCCGCCGUUGAUGAGCGUCUUGGUGACGAGCACGUUGCUGAUGAUGGGCGAGCAGAGCACCGGGAGCGCGCCAGCCAUGGCCGCGCACUUGAGUUGGUUAGAGGAGUCAAAGGUGAUGGCGUACUUGGACCAUCUGAGCGGGCACAUCGCCUCGAGCUUUCGAAGGGAUGCGUUCACCUCACGCGCGAACUGCUUGAAGAUGCAAUGAGAGGCUGGGGCCUGGGAGCCGCCCAGGAUGCAAGCAAUGGUACGAGGCUCUUGGAAGCCCCCAGCCCCCUUGCCCAGAUGGUGGUCUUCGUUCCUUCUUGGCGGUGGUGGCAGCGGAGGAAGACCAACGUUACCCUGGGGCCAAUCCUCGCGAGGCUGAUCCCUCCAGGCGUCCUCGUGAGGCUGGCCCUACCAGUAGUCCUCCCGAGGCUGGUCGCAACACUCCUGACGAUGGCCGCGGCCUUCCCAGCAUCCUCCACCUCGGCAUCCUUCGCGUUCGUAGCCUCGAUCAUCACGCUCGGGGCAACGACCAAGGCGCCCGUCGCAGAUGGCCCUGAGCUCCUGACAGUCGUUGGUGUUGUGGCUAUGCAUGUUGUGGAAGAAGCAGAACGGGCGGCUGCCCUUGGAUGACUCCGGGUGAUUGCAGCCGCGCUUCAUCUCUGGCUUAGCUGUGAGCACGGCCAGUCCCUUGCGCUUCACGUCCUUGGCCUUGGCCUUCUUGUCUUCUGGGUCUGCAUCGGGGAGCUCGAGAAGGGAGAGGUGUCGCUCCUUAGCUCUCACGCACUUGGUUGUCAUGUUGAACAUCUCCAGGUCCGUGCAUAGGUCUUCGUGUAUGACGAGCUGCUCCUUCAUCCUGACAUUGCGGACGCCGUCGGUGAACGCCGAGAUGAUGGCUUCCUCCGACACCUUGGGAAUCCUGAGGCGAACGUUGUUGAAUUGUUGGCUGUACUUCUGCAGGGUCUCUCCCGGUUGCUGCUUGACGCGUCGCAGGUCACCUGCAGAUGGCGGGCAGUCGUGAGUGCCCUCGAAGUUGGCAAUGAAGUGUUCCCGCAUCUCGUCCUAGGAGGAGAUCGAUCCUACGGGCAGGUUCAGGAGCCAGGAGCAUGCACUGUCCUUGAGGGCCAUGGGGAACCAGUUUGCCAUGAUCUUCUCGUCGCCACUGGCCGCCUCGAUACUCAGCUCGUAGAGCUACAGGAACUCGGCAGGGUCGGCGGUGCCGUCGUAGCGUGGAGGCAGGCCGGGCUUGAACUUCCCUUGCCAGACUACGCAGUGCAACUCCAGAGUGAACGCGCGGCACCCCUCUGUGGUCACAAGAGCCCGCCGGGGGAGGCGGAACCUGGUCUUGGCGUUCGCAACCGCCAUCGCAGGCAGCGCACGGUCUUGACGUGGCGCCAGGAGCGCGCGUGCAUCUUCUUGGGGCCGCUGGACCACCUGGCAGCUUGCUUCAUCGCGCACGGGCGCCUAACGCUGCAGAUCACGCCGAGGUUCCACCCGCCUUGGCUCGAUGAUGGCUUCUUGCCUUGGGGGUGGAGGAGGAGCCCCGUGAGCUACAUCUCCCGCAGCAGGCAGCGGUUGAGGCAGCGAGCGAGCCGGUGCAGCAGAGUCCCCAGCGGCGCUAACGUGCUGACCGAUGCGGUCGAGCCAGUCCUUGUAGAGGUCGUCGACCGAGUGGUAGCGCAGGAGCUCACGCGCCAUGAGAAGAGUGGCCUGCGUGUUCGCCGGGCCACCACGACCGUGAGAGGACGAAGCAGCUGGAGUCAAUGAUGGAGUUGCGGUGCGCCCGUCGUGGCACAUAGACGGGUGCAGUGAAGAGGCUUGUUGCUCGUGGCCUGCUGGGCCCGUGGCGGCGUUCACCAUCGGCGAUGGGGGUCGGCGAGGGCAACCGUCGCCCGCCGGUGCUGUCUGAGCGACGCGGGCGACAAGGGCGUCCCGGCACUCAGCACGAGCUCGGCGCAUGUCAGCCAUGGAAGUGGUGGAGCGGUGGCGAGUCGAUCGACGGAAGAGAAGCUCCGACGCACCCCUACCUGGCGCGCCAAAUGUCGUAUUACAGGUUCCGCAAACCCUUGAGAGGUUCGAACUUUGGGGUGUGUGCAAAGAUCUCACUCUCCCCAGUCUACCGACUCGCUAAUCUCACGGCCUAACGCGUCGAGCUUGAAGGAAAUGGGACAUAGCAAUUUAUCCAGGUUUGGGCCACCUUGCGGUGUAAAACCCUACUCCUGCUUUGUGGUGGAUUUGCCUCGAGGGGCUGAGGAAGAACUAGUACAGUGGAGAACAACCCUAGGAGAUGUGUUCUUGGGCUCAAGUGAGCUGGUGAGAUGGUGAGGGUGGAAAGGAUCUGAUCUCCCCCGCCCCCUGUGUAGGUGGCUAGGCCCUAUUUAUAGUGGCAUUGGUCCUCUUCCCGAAUGGAGGCAGGAAGGGAUCCCACAACGGCCAAAUUUGAAGGGAGACAACAAGUACAUAUUAUCCUGACUAAAGGGGUCUUCGCCUGCAAAAGCCUCUGGUCGUGACGCUGUGGUGGGAUCGGCAAUGACCUCCAUCCUGUCGUCCUGGAGGUCUUGGUCUUGUUGCAUAGGAAUGGAACCUUUGGCUGCUUCCUUGAUACGUCUCCAACAUAUCUAUAUUUUUUGAUUGUUCAAUGCUAUUAUAUUAUCUGUUUUGGAUGUUUAAUGCGCUUUAUUAUGCACUUUUAUAUUAUUUAUGGGACUAACCUAUUAACCGGAGGCCCAGUGCAAAUUGUUGUUUUUUGCCUAUUUCAGUGUUUCGCAGAAAAUUAAUAUCAAAAGGAGUCGAAACGGAAUGAAAUCUUCAGGAGAAUCGUUUUUGGAACAAACACAAUCCAGGAGACUUGGAGUGGACGUCAAGGAAGCAACGAGGCGGCCACGAGGUAGGAGGGUGCGCCCACGGGGGUAGGCGCGCCCCCCACCCUUGUGGGCACCUCGUGGCUCAACCGACCUACUUCUUUCGCCUAUAUAUACUCAUAUACCCCAAAAACAUCUAGGAGCACCAUAAAACCCUAUUUCCACUGCCGCAACCUUAUGUACCCGUGAGAUCCCAUCUUGGGGCCUCGAUCAUGGAGGGCUUCUACAUCAACACCAUAGCCCCUCUGUUGAAGUGUGAGUAGUUUACCUCAGACCUUCGGGUCCAUAGUUAUUAGCUAGAUGGCUUCUUCUCUCUCUUUGGAUCUCAAUACAAAGUUCUCCUCGAUCUUCUUGGAGAUCUAUUCGAUGUAAUACUUUUUGCGGUGUGUUUGUCUAGAUCCGAUGUAUUGUGGGUUUAGGAUCAAGAUUAUCUAUGAACAAUAUUUGAAUCUCCUCUGAAUUUUUAUGUAAGAUUUGUUAUAUUUGCAAGUCUCUUUGAAUUAUCAGUUUGGUUUGGCCUACUAGAUUGAUCUUUCUUGCGAUGGGAGAAGUGCUUAGCUCUGGGUUCAGUCUUGCGGUGUCCUUUCCCAGUGACAGCAGGGGCAGCAAGGCACGUAUUGUAUUGUUGCCAUCAAGGAUAAAAAGAUGGGGUUUAUAUCAUAUUGCUUGAGUUUAUCCCUCUACAUCAUGUCAUCUUGCCUAAUGUGUUACUCUAUUAGUAUGAACUUAAUACUCUAGAUGCAUGCUGGAUAGCGGUCGAUGCAUGGAGUAAUAGUAGUACAAGCAGAAUUGUUUUGAUCUACUUGUCGCGGACAUGAUGCCUAUAUACAUGAUCAUGCCUAGAUAUUCUCAUAACUAUGCACUUUUCUAUCAAUUGCUCGACAGUAAUUUGUUCACCCACCAUAAUACUUAUGCUAUCUCGAGAGAAGCCACUAGUGAAACCUAUGGUCCCCGGCUCUAUUUUCCAUCAUAUAAAUUUCCGAUCUAUUUUAUCUUGCAAUCUUUACUUUUCAAUCUAUAUCAUAAAAAUAACAAAAAUAUUUAUCUUAUUAUCUCUAUCAGAUCUCACUUUUGCAAGUGGUCGUGAAGGUAUUGACAACCCCUUUAUCGUGUUGGUCGCAAGGUUCUUAUUUGUUUGUACAGGUACGAGGGAUUUGAGUGUAGCCUCCUACUAGAUUGAUACCUUGGUUCCUAAAAACUGAGGGAAAUACUUAUGUUACUUUGCUGCAUCACCCUUUCCUCUUCAAGGGAAAACCAACGCAUGCUCAAGAGGUAGCAAGAAGGAUUUCUGGCGCCGUUGCCGGGGAGUCCACGCACAAGUCAAGACAUACCAAGUACCCAUCACAAACUCUUAUACCUCGCAUUACAUUAUUUGCCAUUUGCCUCUCGUUUUCCUCUCCCCCACUUCACCCUUGCUGUUUUAUUCGCCCUUCUUCUGUUUGUCUUUUCGUUUACUUUGAUGUCUUAGUUGGCUCGUUUGCUCAUUUGGUUGGAAUAGUUGUUUAUUUAUUGCUAAAUAGAGAACCUAAGAUCUAUGGAUCCUCAUCCGCUUGCCAAUCUUUUUAAGAGAUCCAAUUAUGAUGAACCAAAUUCUAGUGAUUUGAGUGCACUAGAUUAUCUUUAUGAGGUUUUGCUUGAAAUUCGUGAAUCUGAAAAUUGUGAUGAAGAAAUUUAUGAAGAGAUUCACGAUAGCUCCUUGAAUAAAAAGCAUGAUUGCAAUGAUUUUAUUUUAAAUUCUCUUGAUGUCAAUUGUGCUAAUAAUAUCCAAAACCUUAAGCUUGGGGAUGCUCGUUUUGCUAUGUCUACUACUUGUUCCAAUGAUCAUGAUUGGAGUGACUCUUCUUAUGAUCUUGAAAAUUUAUUUAACCCCCAUGAUGAAUAUGAGAUUGAUAAUAGUGUUUGCAAUAAUAUUGAAAGUGGGUUUGGAAGAGUGUCAACUUUAGAUCCCACAUAUUUGGAGAAUGUUCAAUCUUAUGGUAUUUUUGAUAAAAGUGGGUUUGGAGAGGUCAUGACUUUAGUUAAUGAUAAUCCCACUAUUUUGGAAGAGUGUCAACUUCACAUGCAUGUGGAUCGUGUUGAUAAUAUGUUAUGUGAUAGCUAUUUUGUUGAAUUUGCCUAUGAUCCUACAUGUAAUUAUUAUGAGAGAGGAAAAUAUGGUCGUAGAAAUUUUUAACUUACUAAAUUACCUCUGGUCAUGUUGAGAUUGCUAUCGUCUCUUUCAUCUUCCUUGCAUAUGCUAGUUUUUGCUUGCCUUGCAAAUUUGUUUGCUUAUAAAAUGCCUAUGCAUAGGAAUUAUGUUAGACUUAGAUGUGUUUGUCACGUGUUUUAUGAUACUCUCUUUGUGCAUCAAUUCUUAUCUUUCAUGUGAGCAUCAUUAAAAUUAUCAAUACCUAGCUAAAGGCUUUAAAGAAAAGCGCUUGUUCGGAGACAACCCAAUAUUUUUCGUUGCUGUUAUUCAACAAAUCUAGCCUCUGGUUCGAUGUGGUUUUAUGUUUUAGUUAGUGUUUGUGCCAAGUAAAACCUAUAGGAUCUUCUUGGGUGAUAGUUAAUUUGAUCUUGCGGAACAACAGAAACUUUUGCACGCACAAGAAUACUUUUCAUAAAUCACAGAAACGUGAUUUUCAGAUGAUUCUUUCUGCAGAAGAUUGAUAAACAAAUUAUAUAGGGCUUCCUAAUUUGGUAUUAUUUUUUGGGUUCCAGAAGUAUUCGAGUGUUACAGAUUUCUACAGACUAUUCUGUUUUUGACAGAUUCUGUUUUUCGUGUGUUGUUUGCUUAUUUUGAUGAAUCUAUGGCUAGUAUCGGGGGGUAUGAACCAUAGAGAAGUUGGAAUAUAGUAGGUUUAACACCAAUAUAAAUAAUUAAUGAGUUCAUUACAGUACCUUAACAUGGUGGUUUGUUUUCUUGCACUAAUGGAGCUCAUGAGAUUUUCUGUUGAGUUUUGUGUUGUGAAGUUUUCAAGUUUUGGGUAAAGAUUUGCUGGAUUUUGGAAUAAGGAGUGGCAAGAGCCUAAGCUUGGGGAUGCCCAAGGCACCCCAAGGUAAAAUUCAAGGACAACUAAAAGCCUAAGCUUGGGAUGCCCCGGAAGGCAUCCCCUCUUUCAUCUUCGUCCAUCGGUAACUUUACUUGAGGCUAUAUUUUUAUUCACCACAUGAUAUGUGUUUUAAUUGGAGCAUCUUGUAUGAUUUGAGUCUUUGAUUUUUAGUUUAUCACAACCAUCCUUGAUGUACACACCUUUUGGAGAGACACACAUGAAUCGGAAUUUAUUAGAGUACUCUAUGUGCUUCACUUAUAUCUUUUGAGCUAGACAAUUUUGCUCGUGGUUUUAUUUUGUAUAAAUUAUUGAUCUCUGAUGCUUCACUUAUAUUAUUUUGAGAGUCUUUGAGAACAGCAUGGUUAUUUGCUCUGGUUAUAAAAUUAGUCCUAAUAUGAUGGGCAUCCAAGUUGGGUAAAAUAAAAACUUUCAUAUGGAGUAAUUAUGAAAUUGAGAAAUACUUGUGUUAAAGUUGGCAAGUCCCAUAGCAUGCACGUAUGGUGAACGUUGUGUGACAAAUUUGAAGCAUGGGGUGUUCUUUGAUUUCCUUCCUUAUGAGUGGAGGUCGGGAUUGUGCGAUGGUUAACUCCUACCAACCCUUCCCCUAGGAGCAUACGUAUUAGUACUUUGCUUCGAGGGCUAAUAAACUUUUACAAUAAGCAUAUGAUUUCUUUAUGACUAAUGUGAGUCCAUGGAUUAUACGCACUCUUACACUUCUGCAAUUUGCUAGCCUCUACGGUACCGUGCAUUGUCCUUUCUCACAUUGAGAGUUGGUGCAAACUUCGCCGGUGCAUCCAAACCCCGUGAUACGAUAUGCUCUAUCACACAUAAACCUCCUUAUAUCUUCCUCAAAACAGCCACCAUACAUACCUAUUAUGGCAUUUCCAUAGCCAUUCCGAGAUAUAUUGCCAUGCAACUUUCCACUAUUCCGUUUAUUAUGACACUCUCCAUCAUUGUCAUAUUGCUUUGCAUGAUCAUGUAGUUGACAUCGUAAUUCUGGCAAAGCCACCUUUAUAAUUCUUUCAUACAUGUCGCUCUUGAUUCAUUGCAUAUCCCGGUACACCGCCAGAGGCAUUCACAUAGAGUCAUAUUUUGUCCUAAGUAUUGAGUUGUAAUUCUUGAGUUGUAAAUAAAUAGAAGUGUGAUGAUUUCCAUUAUUAGAGCAUUGUCCCAUGUGAGGAAAGGAUGAUGGAGACUAUGAUUCCCCCACAAGUCGGGAUGAGACUCAUGACGAAAUAAAAAAAAGGAGAGAAAAUAAAAAAAUUAAAAAAAGGCAAAGAAGCUCAAAUAAAAAAAUGAGAGAAAAAGAGAGAAGGGACAAUGCUACUAUCCUUUUUCCACACUUGUGCUUCAAAAUAGCACCAUGAUCUUCAUGAUAGAGAGUUUCUUAUUUUGUCACUUUCAUAUACUAGUGGGAAUUUUUCAUUAUAGAACUUGGCUUGUAUAUUCCAAUGAUGGGCUUCCUAAAAAUGCCCUAGGUCUUCGGGAGCAGGCAAGUUGGAUGCACAUCCACUUAGUUUAUUUUUGAUGAGCUUUCAUACAUUUAUAGCUCUAGUGCAUCCGUUGCAUUGCAAUCCCUACUCCUCGUAUUGACACCAUAGCCCAUUGAUUAGCCGCGUCAAUGUGAGACUUUCUCCUUUUUUUGUUUUCUCACAUAAUCCCUAUCAUCAUACUCUACUCCACCCAUAGUGUUAUGUCCAUGGCUCGCUCAUGUAUUGCGUGAGGGUUGAAAAGGCUGAAGCACGUCAAAAAGUAUGAACCAAUUGCUUGGCUGAAACCAGGGUUGUGCAUGAUGGGAGCAUUUUGUGUGACAAAAAUGAAGCAUGGCCAAACUAUAUGAUUUUGUAGGGAUAAACUUUCUUUGGCUAUGCUAUUUUCAUAAGACAUAAACUGCUUGGUUAGCAUGCUUGAAGUAUUACUAUUUUUAUGUCAAUAUUAAACUUUUAACUUGAAUCUUUUGGAUCUGAACAUUCAUGCCACAAUAAAGAGAAUUACAUUGAAAAUUAUGUUAGGUAGCAUUCCACAUCAAAAAUUCUAUUUUUAUCACUUACCUACUUGAGGACGAGCAGGAAUUAAGCUUGGGGAUGCUUGAUACGUCUCCAACGUAUCUAUAAUUUUUGAUUGUUCCAUGUUAUUAUAUUAUCUGUUUUGGAUGUUUAAUGGGAUUUAUGAUGCACUUUUACAUUAUUUUUGGGACUAACCUGUUAACCAGAGGCCCAGUGCAAAUUGUUGUUUUUUGCCUAUUUCAGUGUUUCACAGAAAAGGAAUAUCAAACGGAGUCCAAACGGAAUGAAACCUGCAGGAGAAUCGUUUUUGGAACAAAUGCAAUCCAGGAGACUUGGAGUGGACGUCAAGGAAGCAACGAGGUGGCCACGAGGUAUGAGGGCGCGGCCAGGGGGUAGGCAUGCCCCCCACCCUCAUGGGCCCCUCAUGGCUCCACCGACCUACUUCUUUCGCCUAUAUAUACUCAUAUACCCCGAAAACAUCCAGAAGCACCAUGAAACCCUAUUUCCACCGCCGCAACCUUCUAUACCCGUGAGAUCCCAUAUUGGGGCAUUUUCCGACGCUCCGUCGGAGGGGGAAUCAAUCACGGAGGGCUUCUACAUCAACACCAUAGCCUCUCCGAUGAAGUCUGAGUAGUUUACUUCGGACCUUCGGGUCCAUAGUUAUUAGCUAGAUGGCUUCUUCUCUCUCUUUGGAUCUCAAUACAAAGUUCUCCACACUCUUCUUGGAGAUCUAUUCGAUGUAAUACUUUUUGCGGUGUGUUUGUCGAGAUCCAAUGAAUUGUGGGUUUAUGAUCAAGAUUAUGUAUGAACAAUAUUUGAAUCUCCUCUGAAUUCUUUUAUGUAUGAUUUGUUAUCUUUGCAAGUCUCUUUGAAUUAUCAGCUUGGUUUGGCCUACUAGAUUGAUCUUUCUUGCAAUGGGAGAAGUGCUUAGCUUUGGGUUCAAUCUUGCGGUGUCCUUUCCCAGUGACAGCAUGGGUAGCAAGGCACGUAUUGUAUUGUUGCCAUCGAGGAUAGAAAGAUGGGGUUUAUAUCAUAUUGCUUGAGUUUAUCGCUCUACAUCAUGUCAUCUUGCCUAAUGCGUUACUCUGUUCUUUUGAACUUAAUACUCUAGAUGCAUGCUGGAUAGCGGUCGAUGCGUGGAGUAAUAGUAGUAGAUGCAGAAUCAAUUCGAUCUACUUGUCGCGGACGUGAUGCCUAUAUACAUGAUCAUACCUAGAUAUUCUCAUAACUAUGCACUUUUUAUCAAUUGCUCGACAGUAAUUUGUUCACCCACCAUAAUACUUAUGCUAUCUUGAGAGAAGUCGCUAGUGAAACAUAUGGCCCUCGGGUCUAUUUUCCAUCAUAUAAGUUUCCGAUAUAUUUUAUCUUGCAAUCUUUACAUUUCAAUCUAUUUCAGAAAAAUACCAAAAAUAUUUAUCUUAUUAUCUCUAUCAGAUCUCACUUUUGCAAGUUGCCGUGAAGGGAUUGACAACCCCUUUAUCACACUGGUUGCAAGGUUCAUAUUUGUUUGUGCCGGUACGAGGGAUUUGAGUGUAGCCUCCUACUGGAUUGAUACGUUGGUUCUCAAAAACUGAGGGAAAUACUUACGCUACUUUGCUGCAUCACCCUUUCCUCUUCAAGGAAAAACCAACGCAUGCUCAAGAGGUAGCAUUCCUCGGGACCCCGCACCCACUACUUGCCUCCUUUGCACCAAAGAGGAAACUAGUACACUGCGCCCGCUGGCGCCCGCCUAGCCUCGAUCGUCAGGGCUCACGUCACCCAAACCUCACGAGGUGAGCCUUGCACAGAAAUCUUUGCUCCUUGGGUGCCAGCCUGAGGAGGCUGAUCCCCUUAGAGGUCUUGGUGUCAUCCGCCUCACGAGGCUUGGCCCCUCGCGAGGGUCUCGAGUAGUUGAUGUCGAAAUUGGGCCAUACCAGGCCAUUGAUGGAGCCAUGCCGCAGGCCGUAGGCAGGCAAGUCUGGGUACCCCUAUAUCUAGAAUGCCAACACAUCUGCAGUAACAAAACCACGAUAGUUGGCGCCCACUGUGGGGCGAGCGUACGGUGGUGUUGAGUUCCUGAAGGGGUCUAUUCAGGGAUCGAGAAACUUGCGAUGUACCGGAUAAAGAAGAGCCGGCGCAGAAGAACACAUUAUCAACAAAUAGUCAAAACAACAUAUACGAGAUUUAAGAUCAAGAGAGUUAGAGUUGCAAUUUUCAGCGUCUGCUACACGCGCCGUGGUAAUCCGCCGAGUCCGAGAAGAGAGUUUUUUUAUGAAGGGUCAGAGAUCCAUCGGUCUCAGGUUGCACCAAGAGGGACCACAAAUUUCCGUUGCAGUCGUUCUUUGCAAUCGGCUGAGUUGUGGCUAUGUUUUCAUAUCUCUUGAGUUGGAGGACGAUAAAAUUGCCAAAGAAGGUCUUGACCCUGGAAGGAAUACGAAAGAAAAAGAAUAAGCAGGUCAAACCCCGGAUAAGGGUCUGGUCAUGGAGACGGCCUCACCUCGCUCCGCGUCUGACUCACCCUCGACGGAGCUGAUCUCCAGCUGCCUGCCUCCAAGCCAUCACCAGCCUCCCUCUGUGCAAGACGCCGCGUCUUGGGCCGCUAGCCGCCACCGACUGUGCCGAUGUUCUCCGCUUCAGCAGCAGACCCGCCGGCGCCUCGGCUCGCCACUGCCACUUCCAUUGAAAGCUGCCCCCGUAGCCAUGAUUCAAGUUGAGCUGGUCGCACCAAGUGGGCAUCUCCCCAGCCCGCGUCCAUGACUUGAUCAGCCGUCGUCGCCUUGAUCUGCUUCAGCUGCCACGACCUACCGUGGGUGAGUUGGCUUAUCUACCGUGGUUGUCCUUGAGCCACCCGUCUGCUACUCUCUCUAUUUCCUCGCUCGGUCGAGCCGCCCCGGCUACACUGCAACCUGGGCUGCCGCUUCGACGACUUCGCCCCUGCCAUGGCCGGCAUCAAGCCGCCAUCACGGCGAGUCGUCAGCCCUUCUGCCCUGAGUGUAAGCCGCCUCCACCGGGGCUCAGCCGUCUCCACUACACUUCGCCUCUACAUGCGCUUUUAAUUCACCACUAUGGCCUCGCUCUUCCUUCAACCUGCAGUCAUCGCUGCACGUGGCGCCACCUCAAGCCACCUUCACGCGCGAGUCGCCAAGUGGCUUUAAGUCAUCACUCUCCGAAAAGUCGCCUCCGUGGCUGGCCCCGCCCUCCGCCUCUGCUGAGCGUGGCCACGACCUCGAGCCACCGCUUCCAGGGCCAGCUGCACCCUCCUCUUCUGUUGCACGUCCAAGCCGCUGCCGCGACCCACCGCAACAAGCCGCCGCAUGCCUCUGUCGCCCGCCAUUGAAUCGUCCUGGCCCCAAGCUACAUCCGCAUCAAGUUGCCCCUGUUGAGUUGGUCGUCCGCCAUGGCGGUCAUAGGUGCUUGUCACCACAAGCCGUCGCGGCCAUCCGUCGCUCCCGUCUCAGUCGCGUUCGUGCCCUCUCUAGGUCAGGCCGCCUCACCGAGCUGGCCCUGCCUCCGCUGUCAGCUCCGCUCCUCCUUUGUCUUCAAGACACCCCGGUUGCGGGCCUCACCUCCGCGUCUCGGGCCGCCAGCCGCCCCGCACUAAGCCGCCUCCUCGUCGUAGUUUCUAUAGCCGUGCCGUGAGCCACCAUUGUGGUCGUGGCUAGAGCCGCUCGGUCUCUUGAGUUUUCGGGCGUUCAAGCCGCCGCCCGCCCUGCAGCUCGGCCAUGCUGGGUCGCUGGCCUCGCUCGUGGCCGCUGUCAUCGCGCUCGUUUUCCAUCGCUAACACGAUACCACCACGAGCCACCAUUGUCGAAUUUGGCCCUGAGCCGCCCAGCCUCAGGCUGCCUCCGCUCCGCCUCUGCAUAAUGGCACGCCAACCUGCCACCAUUGAGCCGACCAUCUCCACAGUUGUGCUCCUGCUUCAGGCAGCCACCAUGAGUCAUUGCCUCACCUGGCCUUGCUCAACAUUUGCUGCGCCAUGGCGCCCCUCUUCAACUCGCAUACGUUGCCAAGUCGCCUCCUUUUGCCGCACGGUGAGCCGCCGUCCGCCCCCAAGACGCGGACCAUGCGCGCCCGCCUUACCUUUGAAGCAUAUUGUCAUUUUCCUUCGUCGUAGCCUCGCUUGAAAGACGCCGCCACCUGCAGUUGCUCCUGCCGAGCCAAAUCGCCUCUGCCUCAAUGCUUGCAGCCCCCGAGUCGCCCGUUUUGCCUCAAGCCGCUCCUUCCAAGGCCAAGCCUCUGAGCCGCCUCGCCAGCACUUCUGUUGCGGCCUCACCGCUGUCACUGGUUUGCGCCUCCAACCUACCGGCCCCUGUCAAGCCGCCGUUCCCAAAGCCUUGCCUCAACCACCACCAGAGUCUUGUCCUUCUUUAUCUCCCCCUGGAGGAUGUGAGCUCGAGCAGCAGCUGUAUGGAGUUCAGAGUCAGGGGGUCUUCAACAAAAAAGAGAUAUUAGAAAACUUUGACACAUCCAGCUUUCCAAUGCUAUUGUUCGACUACGAGAGGACGUGAAGCUAGUAUUCUGCAUCACAAACAAACCGAUAUUGCUACAGAGCUGGAAUUUAUAUACUUGCUUCUACAGAGUUGCACUUACUUGUCUAAAGUAGCACUUGAUGCUACCCAGAGGGCAUCACUUGGUCAAACUGAAACUGGUAAUAGUCUAGUGUCGGUACAACUAUUACAUACACCAGAGAUAUCCUACGGGUAUGGACUCCAGCAGAGAACAAAGGACCAAGGAGUUUGACUGGGUAAAAACAAAAAGUGGAUCCAUCUGCGUGUCGAAACUUAGUUUGCUCUGUCUACAAUCAUCCGACAAAAGUAUCAGGUGCUAUCCUCCCAUUUAUUUUAUCAAUACAUGUUUUCCCAAGAGAACAAUUAUACUGUCUUUGAUAUUUUUAUAUGCAGGACAGUUGUUCAUUGGGCACGGAGGACACGACAAAGUGAAAUCCAAAAAUCACAUGUCCAAUAUACAUUAGACACGGAGUUUGUUCCAGUGUCUGCACAUGCCAUAUUUCCUGACGAAUAGGUGUACAAGCCACCAUCACCGUGGUCCGGUCUGCUUCAGCAUAUUGAGAAAUCAAAAGGGUAGGUCAUGGAUGAACUAUCCCUGGAGAGGCUGGGUGAGCUGGCCACUAUUUGACCCAGUGAUUCAAAAACCAGCAAAAGAAAAAAGAGAAGAAAAUGGUCCUGGAAGAACUACAUGAGCCGGACCAAGAGAGAAUACCAAGAAAUGGGAGGACAUAUGAUACGCAUAGCAAAGAUCAUUAAACUCGCCAUCUUACCUCCAGCUUCAAACAAAUUCCAGUGUUCCGCUGUUCAAAUUCUCUAUGCCGGUUUAUAUCACGGUCAAAUAUGGAGAAUCUCAAGCCAACUUCUCUAGUCAUCUUAAGACUCGGGGGCUGCACAGACAUGACUCGGCAGAAUUGGCUGUUGUCAUAAAUUUAAGAACCCCAUUCAUCAAGGGGAAGACAACCCGGUACCGGAAGACUGCUGUCACAUAAGUGAAAAUUUCAAAGUUGUCAGAAAAUUUCUAGCUCAAAAAGUACUGAGAAAUCAGAAAGUUCCGGUUCAAAAGAAAAAUUCCAGAUUGUCAGUAAAAAUUUCCGGUUUAAAAUCUGGCUCAAGGGAAAUCUAUCUCUCACAAAGUUUUGAGCUCUCAAUAUCCGGUUCAAGAGGAAUUCAUCUCUCACAAGUUCGAGUUUAGAAAAAUUAUGGUUGCCAAAGAGAACUUGCUGCCAUGAUGUGCGGUUCAAACAUGGUAUCCUGCCUUAUUGGCUUAUCUUAUUAUGAUCAAUGUAAUAAAGCCAGCAUCCCCGAAACUCAGGGCGUUUGUCGUUUCAUCUCAUAUGUACUGAGCAUGAGCCUUUAUUAAUUGAUCAUAAGGGCACCAGGGGACUUCCAACUCAAUGAGUUUAGCUUACAAAACCCUUGUGACCCGGUCAAACGCCACAUUAGUGGUUAAACCUGCAUGUAUGCUUGAUACUACUCCGAACAAGAUGACCCGCCGUACUCUUGACAAGUCAAUCUUCAUGACCCUGAACUUGUCAAGGUUUAAAAAAUGGCUUAAGUCAUGUGAGAGACAACUUACUGAUAGCAAGGAUAAACCAAGCACUACAAAAAAAUACAUUUCUGUGAUGAUACAUGUUUGUCACAGUGGGUCACGUUUUCUGUCAUGCAUGUACAUCCAUGACGAUUUUAUGACAGAAUCAAGAUAUCCAUACAUGUGCUCUCGUAGACGUGUUCCAUGACAUUACCAAAAUUAUCAUCACGGAAGUGUCCACUUCCAUGAAAGUGCUUUCGUCAAGGGUGACUGACAUGUGGCAUCCACCGUAAUGGGUCGCCGUUAAGCUAUCGGGUUCCGGUUUGGAUCCGAUAACCCAUUAAUAACCCAUAUCACUGGGGAUUUUCCACAUGUAAAAUUCUCAAUGUCCAGAGGAACCACGCGUCAGCUCACCGUUAGGACAGAUGUCUUAUAUGUCUCCAACAUAUCUAUAAUUUUUGAUUGUUCCAUGCUAUUAUAUUACCCGUUUUGGAUGUUUAUGGGCUUUACUUUACACAUUUAUAUCAUUUUUGGGACUAACCUACUAACUGGAGGCCCAGCCCGUAUUGCUAUUUUUUUUGCUGAUUUCAGUGUUUCGGAGAAAAGGAAUAUCAAACAGAGUCCAAACGGAAUGAAACCUUUGGGAGCGAUCUUUUUGGAACAAACAUGAUCCAGAGGACUUGGAGUAGAAGUCAAGAAACAAAAGAGGCGGCCACGAGGGUGGAGGGCGCCCCCCUACUGGGCGCGCCCCCUGUCUCGUGGGCCCCUCGGGCGUCCACCGACCUACUUCUUCCUCCUAUAUAUACCCAUGUACGCCAAAAACAUCAGGGGAGCCAAUGAAAAACUAUUUCCAUCACUGUAACCUUCUGUAUCCACGAGAUCCAAUCUUGGAGCCUUCGCCGGCGCUCCGUCGGAGGGGGAAUCGACCAUGGAGGGCUUCUACAUCAACACCAUAGCCUCUCCGAUUAGUUGUGAGUAGUUUACCACAGACCUUCGGGUCCAUAGUUAUUAGCUAGAUGGCUUCUUCUCUCUCUUUGAAUCUCAAUACAAAGUUCUCCUUGAUCUUCUUGGAGAUUUAUUUGAUGUAACUCCUUUUGCGGUGUGUUUGUCGAGAUCCGAUGAAUUGUGGGUUUAUGAUCAAGUUUAUCUAUGAGAAAUAUUUGAAUCUACUCUGAAUUCUUUUAUGUGUGAUUAAGUUAUCUUUGCAAGUCUCUUCGAAUUACCAGUUUGGUUUGUCCUACUAGAUUGAUCUUUCUUGCAAUGGGAGAAGUGCUUAGGUUUGGGUUCAAUCUUGCGGUGUCCUUUCCCGGUGACAGCAGGGGCAGCAAGGCACGUAUUGUAUUGUUUCCAUCGAGGAUAAAAGGAUUGGGUUUAUAUCAUAUUGCAUGAGUUUAUCCCUCUACAUCAUGUCAUCUUUCUUAAUGCGUUACUCUGUUCUUUAUGAACUUAAUACUCUAGAUGCAUGCUGGAUAGCGGUCGAUGUGUGGAGUAAUAAUAGUAGAUGAAGGCAGGAGUCGGUCUACUUGUCACGGACGUGAUGCCUAUAUACAUGAUCAUGCCUAGAUAAUCUCAUAAUUAUUCGCUUUUCUAUCAAUUGCUCAAAAGUAAUUUGUUCACCCACCGUAAUACUUAUGCUAUCUUGAGAGAAGCCACUAGUGAAACCACUAUCUUUUAUCAUAUAAGCUUUCAAUCUACUUUUAUUUGCAUCUUUACUUUUCCAAUCUAUAUUAUAAAAUACCAAAAAUAUAUUUAUCUUAUCAUAUUAUCUCUAUCAGAUCUCACUUUUGCAGGUGGCCUAAAGGGAUUGACAACCCCUUUAUUGCGUUGGUUGCGAGUUCUUGUUUGUUUGUGUUUGUGUAGGUGCGUGGGAUUUUUGAGGAGCCUCCUACUGGAUUGAUACCUUGGUUCUCAAAAACUGAGGGAAAUACUUAUGCUACUAUUGCUGCAUCACCCUUUCCUCUUCAAGGAAAACCAACGCAAGCUCAAGACGUAGCAAGAAGGAUUUCUGGCGCCAUCGCCGGGGAGAUCUUCGCUCAAGUCAAGACAUACCAAGUACCCAUCGCAAACUCAUCUCCCUUGCAUUUACAUUAUUUGCUAUUUUCCUCUCGUUUUCCUCUCCCCCACUUCACCCUUGCCGUUUUAUUCGCCCUUCUUAUGUUCGUAUUUUCGUUUACCUUAAUGUCUUACUUGGCUCGUUUGCUCGUUUGGUUGGAAUAAUUGUGUUUUUGUUACUAAACAAAGAAGCUAAGAUCUAUGGGUCCUCAUCCGCUUGCUAAUCUUUUUAAGAGAUCCAAUUAUGAUGAACCAAUUGCAAGUGAGUUUUGUGCACUAGAUUAUCUUCAGGAAGUUUCGCUUGAAAUUCGUUAAUCUAAAAAUUGUGAUGAAGUACUUUAUGAAGCGAUUCAUGAUAGAUCUUUGAAUAAAAAGCAUGAUUGCAAUGAUUUUAUUAUAAAUUCUCUUGAUGUCAAUUGUGCUAAUAAUAUGCAAAACCCUAAGCUUGGGGAUGCUAGUUUUGCUAUGUCUACUAUUUGUUGCAAUGAUCAUGAUUGAGGUGAUUCUUCUUAUGAUCUUGAAAAUUUAUUUAAGCCCCAUGAUGAAUAUGAGAUUGAUAAUAGUGUUUGCAAUAAUAUUGAAAGUGGGUUUGGAAGAGUGUCAACUUUAGAUCCCACAUAUUUGGAGUAUUAUCAAUCUUAUGAUAUUGUUGAUAAAAGUGGGUUUGGAGAGGUCAUGACUUUAGUUAAUGUUAAUCCCACUAUCUUGGAAGAGUGUCAACUUUGCAUGCAUGUGGAUCAUGUUGAGAAUAUGUUAUAUGAUAGAUAUUUUGUUGAAUUUGCUUAGGAUCCUACAUGUAAUUAUUAUGAGAGAGGAAAAUAUGGUUGUAGAAAUUUUCAUGUUACUAAAUUACCUCUCUUCAUGUUGAGAUUGCUAACGUCUUCUUCCUUGCAUGUGCUAGUUUUUGCUUGCCUUGAUAAUUUGAUUGCUUAUAAAAAACCUAUGCAUAGGAAGUAUGUUAGACUUAAGUGUGUUCGUCAGAUGUUUUAUGAUGCUCUCUUUAUGCUUCAAUUCUUGUCUUUCAUGUGAGCAUCAUUGAAAUCUCAAUGCCUAGCUAAAAAGGCGUUAAAGAAAAGCGCUUGUUGGGAGACAACCCAAUAUUUUUCCUAGCUGUUAUUCAAUCAAUUUUGCUUCUACUUUCUGUUUAUAUGUCUUUUUAUGUUUUAUUUAGUGUUUGUGCCAAGUAUAACCUAUGGUGAUAGUUAAUUUGAUUCUGCUGAAAAACAGAAACUUUGUGCGCACAAAAAUAAUUUUAGUAAUUCACAGGAAUGUGCUUUUGCAUUUAUUAUUUUUCUGUAGAUGAAUAUACAAAUUUCCAAGGACUUCCUAUUUUUGUAGGAUUUUUAGGGUUCCAGAAGUAUUCGAGAGUUACAGAUUGCUACAUACUGUUAUGUUUUUGAUAGAUUCUGUUUUUCGUGUGUUGUUUGCUUAUUUUAAUGCAUCUAUGGCUAGUAUUAAGUGGUAUGAACCAUAGAGAACUUGGAAUACAGUAUGUUUAACACCAAUAUAAAUAAAGAAUGAGUUAAUUACAGUACCUUAUGUGGUGGUUUUGCUUUCUUUCACUAACGGAGCUUAUGAGAUUUCCUGUUGAGUUUUGUGUUGUGAAGUUUUCAUGUUUUGGGUAAAGAUUUGAUGGAUUAUGGAAUAAGGAGUGGCAAGAGCCUAAGCUUGGGGAUGCCCAUGGCACCCCAAGAUAUUCAAGAAUAUCCAAAAUCCUAAGCUUGGGGAUGCCCCGAAAGGCAUCCCCUCUUUCGUCUUCGUUUAUCGGUAACUUUACUUGGAGCUAUAUUUUUAUUCGCCACAUGAUAUGUGUUUUGCUUGGAGCGUGUUGUAUGAUAUUAGUCUUUGCUUUUUAGUUUACCACAAUCAUCCUUUCUGUACACACCUUUUGGGAAGAAUCCCACUUGAUUGAAAAUUAUUAGAAUACUCUAUGUGCUUCACUUAUAUCUUUUGAGCUUGAUAAUUUUUGCUCUAGUGCUUCACUUAUAUCUUUUAGAGCACAGCGGUGGCUUAAGUUUGAAGAAAUUUUUGAUCUCUCAUGCUUCACUUAUAUUAUUCUGAGAGUCUCUUAGAACAACAUGGUAUUUUCUAUGGUUAUAAAAGUGGUCCUAGAAUGAUGGGCAUCCAAGUUGGGUAUAAUAAAAACUAUCAUAGAAAGUGAAUUGGAUGCUAUGAUCAAUUUGAUGCUUGAUAAUUGUUGUGAGAUAUAAAGGUGGUGAUAUUAGAGUCAUGCUAGUUGGGUGAUUAUGAAUUUAAAGAAUACUUGUGUUGAAGUUUGUGAUUCCCGUAGCAUGCAUGUAUGGUGAACCACUUUAUGAUGAAGUUGGAGCAGAAUUUUAUUUAUUGAUUGUCUUCCUUAGGAGUGGCGGUCGGGGAUGAGCGAUGGUCUUUUCCUACCAAUCAAACCCCCUAGGAGCAUGCGCGCAGUAAUUUCUUUUUGAUGACUUGUAGAUUUUUGCAAUAAGUACAUGAGUUCUUUAUGACUAAUGUUGAGUCCAUGGAUUAUACGCACUCGCACCCUUCCACCAUUGCUAGCCUCUUUUGUGCCACACAACUUUCGCCCGUACCAUACACCCACCAUAUACCUUCCUCAAAACAGCCACCAUACCUACCUAUUAUGGCAUUUCCAUAGCCACUCCGAGAUAUAUUGCCAUGCAACUUUCCACCAUUCCGUUUAUAUGACACGCAUCAUCAUUGUCAUAUUGCUCUUUGCAUGAUCAUGUAGUUGACACCGUAUUUGUGGCAAGGCCACCUUCAUAAUUUUCAUACAUGUCACUCUUGAUUCAUUGCAUAUCCCGGUACACCGCCGGAGGCAUUCUUAUAGAGUCAUAUCUUGUUCUAAGUAUUGAGUUGUAAUCUUGACUUGUAAGUAAAUAAAAGUGUGAUGAUCUUCAUUUUUAGAGCAUUGUCCCAGUGAGGAAAGGAUGAUGGAGACUAUGGUUCCCCCACAAGUCGGGAUGAGACUUCGGACUUUAUAAAAAAAAGAGGCCAAAGAGCCUACCAAAUAAAAAAAAGAGGCCAAAUAAAAAAAGGAAGGCCAAACAAAAAAUGAGAGAAAAAGAGAGAAGGGACAAUGCUACUAUCCUUUUUACCACACUUGUGCUUCAAAGUAGCACCAUGAUCUUCAUGAUAGAGAGUCUCCUAUGUUGCCACUUUCAUAUACUAGUGGGAAUUUUCAUUAUAGAACUUGGCUUGUAUAUUCCAAUGAUGGGCUUCCUCAAAAUGCCCUAGGUCUUCGUGAGCAAGCGAGUUGGAUGCACACCCACUUAGUUUCUUUUAUUGAGCUUUCAUACAUUUAUAGCUCUGGUGCAUCCGUUGCAUGGCAAUCCAUACUCACUCACAUUGAUAUAUAUUAAUGGGCAUCUCCAUAGCCCGUUGAUAGGCCUAGUUGAUGUGAGACUAUCUUCUCCUUUUUGUCUUCUCCACAACCACCAUUCUAUUCCACUUAUAGUGUUAUGUCCAUGGCUCACGCUCAUGUAUUGCGUGAAAGUUGAAAAAGUUUGAGAUUACUAAAGUAUGAAACAAUUGCUUGGCUUGUCAUCGGGGGUGUGCAUGAUUAAAUACUUUGUGUGAUGAAGAUAGAGCAACAGCCAGACUUUAUGAUUUUGUAGGGAUAACUUUCUUUAGCCAUGUUAUUUUGAGAAGACAUGAUUGCUUGAUUAGUAUGCUUGAAGUAUUACUAUUUCUUAUGUCAAUAUGAACUUUUAUUUUGAAUCAUUUGGAUCUGAACAUUCAUGCCACAAUAAAGAAAAUUACAUUAAGAAUUAUGCUAGGUAGCAUUCCACAUCAAAAAUUCUGUUUUUAUCAUUUACCUACUCGAGGAGAAGCAGGAAUCAAGCAUGGGGAUGCUUGAUACGUCUCCAGCAUAUCUAUAAUUUUUUAUUGUUCCAUGCUAUUAUAUUACCCGUUUUGGAUGUUUAUGGGAUUUACUUUACACAUUUAUAUCAUUUUUGGGACUAACCUACAAACCGGAAGCCCAACCCGUAUUGCUGUUUUUUUUUUGCCUAUUUCAGUGUUUCGAAGAAAAGGAAUAUCAAAUGGAGUCCAAACGGAAUGAAACCUUCGGGAGCGAUCUUUUUGGAACAAACGUGAUCCAGAGGACUUGGAGUGGAAGUCAAUAAACGAAAGAGGCGGCCACGAGGGUGGAGGGCGUUCCCCCUGUCUCGUGCACCCCUCGGGCGUCCACUGACCUACUUCUUCCUCCUAUAUAUACCCAUGUACCCCGAAAACAUCAGGGGAGCCAACGAAAAACUAUUUGCACUGCCAUAACCUUCUGUAUCCGCGAGAUCCCAUCUUGGAGCCUUCACUGGCGCUUCGCCGAAGAGGGAAUCGACCACGGAGGGCUUCUACAUCAACACCAUAGCCUCUCCGAUGAGUUGUGAGUAGUUUACCACAGACCUUCGGGUCCAUAGUUAUUAGCUAGAUGACUUCUUCUCUCUCUUUGAUUCUCAAUACAAAGUUCUCCUUGAUCUUCUUGGAGAUCUAUUCGACGUAACUCUUUUUGCAGUGUGUUUGUCGAGAUCUGAUGAAUUGUGGGUUUAUAAUCAAGUUUAUCUAUGAGAAAUAUUUGAAUCUCCUCUGAAUUAUUUUAUGUGUGAUUAAGUUAUCUUUGCAAGUCUCUUCGAAUUAUUAGUUUGGUUUGGCCUACUAGAUUGAUCUUUCUUGCAAUGGGAGAAGUGCUUAGCUUUGGGUUCAAUCUUGCAGUGUCCUUUCCCAGUGACAGCAGGGGCAGCAAGGCACGUAUUGUAUUGUUGCCAUCGAGGAUAAAAAGAUGGGGUUUAUAUCAUAUUGCAUGAGUUUAUCCCUCUACAUCAUGUCAUAUUUCUUAAUGCGUUAGUCUGUUCUUUAUGAACUUAAUACUCUAGAUGCAUGCUGGAUAGCGGUCGAUGUGUGGAGUAAUAGUAGUAGAUGCAGGUAGGAGUCGGUCUACUUGUCACGGACGUGAUGCCUAUAUACAUGAUCAUGCCUAGAUAAUCUCAUAAUUAUUCGCUUUUCUAUCAAUUGCUCGACAGUAAUUUGUUCACCCACCGUAAUACUUAUGCUAUCUUGAGAGAAGCCACUAGUGAAACCUAUGGCCCCCGGGUCUAUUUUUUAUCAUAUAAGCUUUCAAUCUACUUUUAUUUGCAUCUUUACUUUUCCAAUCUAUAUUAUAAAAUACCAAAAAUAUAUUUAUCUUAUCAUAUUAUCUCUAUCAAAUCUCACUUUCGCAAGUGGCCGUGAAUGGAUUGACAACCCCUUUAUUACAUUGGUUACGAGUUCUUGUUUGUUUGGGUAGGCGCGUGGGACUUUUGAGGAGCCUCCUACUGGAUUGAUACCUUGGUUCUCAAAAACUGAGGGAAAUACUUACGCUAUUAUUGUUGCAUCACCCUUUCCUCUUCAAGGAAAACCAACGCAAGCUCAAGACGUAGCAAUGUCAUCCACUCAUUGGACCGAAGGCGCCUAUGAUACGUCGACAUGUGGCACGACCCAACAGAGGCCCAUUCCGGUGAAAAGGCCAGCCCGUUUGACUUGGUCAAAAGGUAGCGGGCCGGCCCACAGAAAGCCUGUUAACGGCUUGUUCGCAUGUAGCCCAUUUAUAGGCCGCUAAGUCAAGGCCCGUUACGGCCUAUCCGAAUCAGGCCCAGUAGCAUCAUCUGGGCCGGCCAAUAUGAUUCUAGCCCGUUGUAACUUCCUGCCCACGUAUGGCACAUGACGUCUUUCAGCCCAUAUGAUCCCUUUGUAACUCUUGGCCCAUUAACCGCCCGUGGUGAAACUAGCCCGUAAUGAAUAGUGUAUCGCUUUAUACCCAUUAAUGGCCCAUUAUUCCAUUUGGCUGUUUCUAGUCCAUGUUAACUUUUGGCCUUCUUAGGGAUCAUUUAUUCUUGGGCUCAUUUACAGAAUUCAGUUACUUAUGGCCCGUUACUGGCCUUUUCUGCUUGUGGGCCAAAUGCAGCCAAUGGUUACAGUUGGCCCAUUUGUGGCUCAUUAAUCUGUUGGGUCAUUUUCAUAGCGUCAUCUAAUAUGGCCGAUUAAUGACGGCCCGUUAUGGUCCACCCAGGUGCAACAGACCCAGGCCCGUUGACCUGAUUGUGUAGAGGCACGAGAUCAAGAUUGAAGCACCAGAACCAGAAACCAAGAGACUCGAAGAACCAGCUAAUGAAUCAAGAGGAACCGAGGGUAUGAACUAAAACUCAUCUUUUUGAGUGAGCCUGUCCCUUUACAUAUUCUUAUUUCAAGAGUUUAGCAUGAAUAAAUUCCAAGCUAAACUGGGGGCUAAUGUUGGGGAUAUUCCCCACGACCAAGGCCCGACUCAUAAGGAUAAGACGCCCUGAAGCUUAAGUCAUCUUCGGGCUUAAGUCACCCUGAUGUUAAGUCAUCUCUGGUCUUAAGCAGCCAUGUUAAGUCCUCUCUGGACUUGAGCAUCCAUGUAAGUCCUCUCUAGACUAAUGUAGCCAUCGUAACCAGCCAUAUUAACCCGCCAUGAUGAGUCUCGAAAGAUGAGACUCCUGAAGAUAAUCCCUGAAGAUAAGUCCUGAAUGUAAGCCACCUGGCUGUAAGGCGCUCGUCUGGACAUAAGAAGCCCGGGAUUCAGAAGCCCAUGCCAAGAAGCCCGCGAUGGGAAUUCAGAAAUAGGCUAAAUCCUUAUCCUACUAGGACUCUACAUGUAAACCCGCCCCUUCAACUUAUAUAUGGAGGGGCAGGGCACCCCAAGAGGGUCAGGUUCUUUACAGGUUAAGAUAGUCAGGGCUUAGUCAGGCAAGUCUUAGACAAGAUCAAUGUAGAUGCUCUCGAGAUAGAGGUAGCGAAACACCACCCUUGUAACCAAGAUCGUCAUCAUCAUCAAUAUCAAUGAAACGGGAUGUAGGCUUUUACCUCCACCGCGAGGGGCCGGACCUGGGUAAAAUCUCGCGUCUCUCGUCCUGCUCAACCCUGUUCAAGCUACCACUUAGAUGCGUUGGCCUCACGACUAAGUCCUUACACAAGGACAUCUACCAUGACAAAACCACGAUAGUGGCGCCCUGCCGCGACGCAACAGAAGCUGCACCUAGUGAAUGCUGACCCACCAUUCAGCUUCCAUAGCCAUGUUAGCUGGAGGAUGAGAAUCAAUUGUUGUGUUGAUAGCAGUUACGCCUUUCCUUUUAGGGCAGGGUAGUAUAGUAAUUUACUACUAGUAGUUAAAACCAAUAAGGAACCAAAUGUGAAUGUUUAUCUGGUCAAGCAAGUGAACUGUGUGUUGUUGUUACUGUUUAUAGGUAUAUGUGUUUGUCAGAAGCUUCAAACAAAUGGAACAAAAGAAAAUUUGCAAUAUGUUGAUGUGUACUCGUGAUUUAAUAUGAUGCGAUGCAACGUGUGUGGUCUAUUUCAGAUAUAUAUGUGGGGGAGUAUUCUCGUUUGCUCUCCUCUGAAGAAGUGGAUAUGACACAGGAGUGGAGUUUAGUCACGUAAGCGCUCUUUGCCGCGCCAAUGAAAUUUGAGCCACUGAAAUAGUUUUUACAUCCAGUGGAAUUUGAGCUAUUCAAAUAAGUGGUCACACGAGAUCCCGUGAGACUUGACGAUAGUGACCCAUCGUAAUGCUUGGGUAGUCAAUUCCCUUUCCCCUCCAUCGUGGCUCGCUGCUUGAGGGUCUGACUAGCCUUCAGUUGCGUUCCCUGGUUGGCCAACCAUGACGGAGAUUAUCAACGUUCAUAGUAUUACGGUUAUGUGCAUCGGGGGUCGGGGGUGAUCCUCUUUUUCUCAGAAUAAAUCCUCCUAUGCUUACCAUCAUUUGCCAAUUGCUUGCAAGAAUAUAAUAGCCAUGUCUUAAAAAUGUUAAUGUGUGUGUGCUGAUGAUAACACCCUAUGGUCAUGAUUUUUUUACAACUAGUGAAGAAGAUGGAACAGUCAAAGGAGAACGUCAAUGCCAAGAAGGGUGACACCCUGUUGUUGAGGCGCUGCAGCAGCUCCAUUUGGUGAACAGUGACUUGCCAUUCAACUUCCAUAGUCAUGCAGGCAGGAGGAGUACAUGAAGUCUGGUUGUUUUUUGUGUUUGAUGCAAGUGCAGCAAUACUCGUGGUGUUGAUAGUAGUUACCUUUUCUGUGGUGAUAUGUUAAUUUACUAGUGGUACCUAUAACCCACAAGAACACAAAUAUCAGUGUUUAU